Molecule: long non-coding RNA, 48175 nt
Filed under: Lactuca sativa (garden lettuce)
Lineage: Eukaryota; Viridiplantae; Streptophyta; Magnoliopsida; Asterales; Asteraceae
Description: long non-coding RNA (LSAT_LNC009488)
Source: RNAcentral
CACCAUCAUUUUCAUGAAUCGGAGAGAAACCUUAUGACACUUAGAUUUAUAUGGUGUAUGAGUUCCUACCCAUAUGAAUUUGUCAAACCAUAAUCACAAGACAAAGAUAAUGACAAAUCCAAAACCAUAUGGAUUGAACUCAAUCUUAACUUCUUGCCACCUGGCAGCUCAAGGGCCUGCCAUUGCUUCCAAGUUGUUAUGCAACAAACUGAGAACUCUAAGAACUCAUAUGCAAAGCCAACUUUAACUGGAAUGGGCACAGAUAUGUCAACACAAUAGAUUAUAAACCUCAAAUUGUGUGCUAGAGAAGAACUUUAGGUUUUAUUCUUGAUUAGUUCUUGAGACUUUCAAGACCUUUAAGACUCGCACUCUCCUCUUAACAUAUAAGACUUUCUUGUCAGAUAUUCAAGAGAUAGUGUGGAUUCUAAUCAAGACAAACACUUCACAUGAUUGGCCUUAGUUGGUCUUUGUUUUAUCCAAAAUCACAACUUACCAAUAUAAAUGUACAAGAGUAUAAAACUUUUACCCUUACAUUUGAUAAGUGUUUUAAACCUUCUUUAAGACAUGUCACUCAAAUGACAAUCUUGGAGUAUGACUCUAAGACUUGUAUUGGAACGAAGUAUGACUCAUCUUCUUGAUUUAACCAUUUCAACAAUUCAAGUUCCUCUUCUUAGUCAUAAGAAUGCACUAAGAUUUCCUUAGAGAACUAAUUUUGAUAUGGUUUCUUAAUCAUUAAGAUGAUCACAAAACUGAUACUAAAGUACUCUCCCAUCUUUUCAGAUUUGAGAAACUUUUAUCCUUCUGCCUUAUUUGAUUCUUCUUAUCGAUCUUUAGUGGUGGACUUAAUCAGUGCACAAGAAUGUGUACUCGAUCCCUAAGUCCUUUACUUGACUCACACAUCCAUGUGAACAAGUAAUUAGUCUUAAUUUUCCAAAACUUGAAAGUUCUCAUUCAUCAUGCUAUACAACUUGCAUGAUUCCAAGUUCCGGUCCAAUUGAAACUUGGGUGAUGAGAAUCUUUCCUUAUUUGGUAAAUUUAGACAUUACCACAAAUGAAAGAAUCAAUUUCAUAUUUCCACUCUUGCUAUUAAUGGAAUCAUAUAAGCAACAAUUUUUCCUCAAAUGCCAUUGUAAGGAUAUUUUAAAAUAAAUAAAAUAAAAAAUUUUCUUUUAUUUUAAAACUUUGCGGAAAAACUUAUCCUUACAAUCCAUAUGAAAACUUGUUGUUAUCUAUUCCUAAGCAAUAUCUCAUAACUCCUAAGAAGUAGCUCAAGAAUCCGAUCUUCAAACUAUGCGAUAGAAAUCCAUCUACGCGAUCAGAUUCAGCAUAUUCUUUCUUUAAGUUUCUUCACUUUUCUUUGAUUCUUAAAACAUCACCAUGUGACCCAGUCACAUCAUGUAUCAAGAAUCUCAGAAUAGAAACUUAACAGAGUUAGAUAGUGGAUUUUACCUGAAGUAGAGUCAAACUUAUUGACUUUAACAUCCUUAGGUAAAUUUGGCAGCUUCGCAACCAAUGCCCUUUCUUUGGCAAUACAAACAUAUGGACCCUUUGAUAAUGGUACACAGGACUAUCACAGACUUAGCUUUUCUCUUUACCAUUUGGUCAACCGAGUUGACUAUAGCCGAUCCCUUUCCAUUGGGAAGAGAAUGCUUUACUGGAUAUCCAAUGUCAUCAUUGUCAAUGUCCAUAAAGUUUUAGGAAGUUGAUCUUAACAAAUAGAUAAGAUCAUUAAGGGUCUUGUCAUAGUCUGUUUCAUAGGUGUCCCAAAGGAACUCACUAUGUGACUUAGAAAGUGAUUGAACCACCAACUUUCUCAAGACUUUGACACCCAACUCUCCCGGCUUGUCAAUAUGUGACUACAUCUCCAAGAUGUGACCACACCUAGACCUUGCCUUGCUAAUAGGGCCUGAGUGACCUUAAACUUUUCAAGAACUUGUGGGUUAGGGAGAAUAAUUUGAAGAGGUGAAGAAGUAUGAUAUCCAUGGGACAUCAUCUUCAUUAGGAAACCUUGUUUCAAGAGAUUUGGGAAGAUCAUAGGUGUCUAAACCAGACAUCUUUUGGGAGAUAUUCAAGAUAGUUGAUUUAAAGUCCUUAAUAUGACACCCAAUAUGAAAUAUUAAGGCUAGGACCCAACAAACUAUUUUAUAACUUAGAAGAGGUAUGCCGUAAUCCAAGCUAUAAAAUAUUUGAAGGUAGGUGAAUGACGAUUCACCAAUUUCCACCAAGAUAAACGAAAUGUAUUAUUAGGUUUUAAUUGGUUUUGAAACUCCUAGAUCUUUGAGAUUCAUUGAACUGUUCAAUGGCAUGUUUCAAUCUCGAGUGUGCCCUUCAGGUUUUGUGACUGGGAUGCCGAGGAUCACAAAACAAGGUGUGAAGUAACCAUGCAAAUUACUUGGUACCCUUAAGUGUUUACCCCUCAAUCGAUGUGUCGGUUAACCACACACGCUCCAUCGAUACUAUGAUAAACAUUAAGUUACCCUUUGCCUACCUUGUUAAAUACGAGUUAGUGUGUCGGUUAACCACACACGCUCCACUAACCGACUUAAACAAAGUGCAAAGUGUAAUUUCAUGGAUUAGCACCUUAUUCACAUUUUCCUAAGUAACUAAGAUUGGGUAUUUAUAAAAGGUUUAGUUACUUAGUAUUUAUCAUUAAUACUUUUAAUGAAGGGAGAAUUAUAGUCCUUGUCCUACCCGUUCGGCUAACGACCCUCCACCGGUCAAGGAAGCGGUGGGUGAGAGUGGACACCCAUUAAACUGUCAUUUUAUAGGCAGUAACCUUAUACCCCCCUUAUAGACCGACUUCGUGAAUGAGGCCUACUAACGGUAAGACUGACUUUGUUCUUAUACAUAUAUAUAAGUAUUAACUAUUAAUAUUAUAAUAGUAUAAGGGUGUAUUUUAAACAUUUAAAAUACUUGGUGGUUUAAUCUAUUAAUUAAACUAUACUCUUAAUUUAAUUAAACUUAAACCAUGUCUUUAUGGAAUUAUUAACUCUUUUAAUUAGACACUUUAAUUAAUUUAAUGAAGUCCAUAAAGUUUGAACUUUAACUUUUAAAAUUCUUGGGUUUGGAAUUAAAGUGUAUAUGGGGUUUGACUUUACAAAUUCCAAAACUUGAGGACAAGUUUUGAACAAUUCAAAAAACUUAUGGUUUCCAUAACUUAUGAAUUUUAAAGUGGUUUAAUGGAAAAAACCCUUCAAGUUCCAUAACUUGUAGACAAGUUAUGGAAGACUUUAAAAGCAUUAAAAAAUGUGACUCUUCAUUUUUUCAUAACUUAUGGAAAUUUUAUGAGUUUUAAAAUUCAUAAAUGUGACUUUUCAUGUAACUUGAGGACAAGUUACAAAAACACAUAUUAUGAACAACUUCAAGAUUAAUUUGGAUUGAAAACAACUAUCUCAUAAUUUUUCCUAUUAAUCUAAACAAACUCAUAAACAUGAACAUUCAUAAUCAACAUUUUUCAAGCAUCAUAUAAACAUGUAUAAAACUUGAAACUUUGAUUAUUAUCCUUUAUUUGGAUGAGAAUAAACAUUACCAUAGUAUCAAAAAACAAAUUUUAUGAACAAAAACACUUUGCGGUAGUGAUUCUAAUCCAAAACAGGCAAAAAAACUCGAAGAUAAGCUGUCAGGGGGUCCAACUCGUCGAGUGCAUGAACCAACUCGACGAGUUGGAUGAAUUUGUUCAUGGACUUGUCGAGUCCAUCACUGGACUCGUCGAGUCUGCUGUCCCGACAGCAAAAAAUUCGAUUUUUUUCAGUUUUUUCCAGCAACUUGCAUCAAGUAUAAUUGAAAACAACCCAUGGCUCUGAUACCACUGUUGGGUUUUGGUAUACUACAACAUCCUAUGGUGCACAUACAACCCUAAAUACCUUGGAUCUAUGUUUUCACUAAUUAUACAUGCAAAUGGUUUCCAAGGUAUUAAUCUUACAACUAGCAUGCAUUUAACAUAAAAAUAUAAUAUACUAGUUAGCAUGACAUACCUUUUGAUGGAGCUUGAAUUCUUGGUGUAUUUGGCCUUAAAGAGCUUAGCCCCGAUAGUGUGGAAGCCUCAAAUGGAAUCACAACACACCAUGGACAAAGGAUGAACUUGAGAGAGAAUUCCAUACACACAAAAGACACCAUGAACUCUAAAAAGAUACAAGUGGCGAUUUUGGGCAAUGAAGUAUCUAUUUAUAUGUGGGAUUUCUAGGGUCAUGGAUAUAACCCAAAUCCAUACCCAUGGGUUUUAUGAUCCAUGGUUCAUGUGGCCCAACUCUUUAUGUAUCCAUACAUAAACUUGGUCCAACAUGGAUCAUAAGCCCAACACAUAUAAAUAUAACUAAUUAUCAUAAUUAGUCCCCAUAGAUUUAAUUAGUCUCUUUCGACCACUAAAUUAAUUCCAAAUUAAUUCUUGAUCAAUACAAAUUAAAACAUAUGUUUCAUAAUAAUAUAUUAUUACUUAUAAUAUAUUAAUAAACCAUAAAUAACCUUCUCUCAAAGGUCCAUCCUAACAAAUUGUCUUGAUGAUAUGCAACCCAAAUGGACCAUGCUACUCUCGGUUCGAAUACAUACCAAUAAUAGUUAUGGGCUUAGACACCUAAUCCAAUAGUUGUUGCCAUCCAUUGUCACGCUGUGGCGGCCCUCUAAACAUGCGAUAUAUUAAUUUCACGCCACAUUGUGGGCAUCCAUGACCACAUCGUGGCUAAGUUUUUGAUCCAAAAACCUUAUUUUGAUUCCUUUAAUCUUGGCUAACCUUCUUCAUGAAAUGGGUGUUAUAAUUGAUCCUACAGUCGAAGCAUAUGGGACUCGACUCAUGUCAACCAACUCUUCAUAUGUACUAGGGUUUGAGUCUUACUCAAUUUGGCAUUACUCUGAAUAGGCAGUUCCCCUUUCUUGGAAUUUUCCAUACUAAAACGCUUUAGUAUUCUAUCCAAGUAAGUACUCUGACUAAGACCAAUAAGUCUUUUCUUUCUAUCCCUCAGAAUCCUUAACCUGAGAAUAUAGGCAGUUUCCCCUAGAUCCUACAUGGAGAAACACUUCCCGAGGCAAGAUUUUACUUCUUGCAAAUCUGAAAUGUCAUUUCCCAUAAGGAUUAUGUCAUCAACAUACAAUACAAGGAAAGUAACUGUACUCCCACUAGCUUUGACAUACACACAAGACUCAUCCUCACUCCUAGAGAAAACCAAACUCUUUGACUUUCUGAUAGAAGCAAAGAUUCCAACUGCGAAAUGCUUGUUUCAAUCCAUAAAUGUAUUCUCAAGAUUACACACUCUAUUAGGAAGCUUUGCAUGUACAAAACCCUUUUGUUGGCUCAUGUAAACAUCCUCAGCCAAUUUCCCAUUAAGGAAAGUAGUUUUGACAUCCAUCUGCCAUAUUUCAUAAUCAUGAAAGGCAGCUAUGGUAAUCACUAUCCUAAUAGACUUGAUCUUAGCCAAUGGUGAAAAGGUCUCAUCAUAGUCAACCCCAAAGGUUUGAGUAAAGACCUUUCCAACUAGUCGUGCCUUAAACGUGUGUACUUUCCCAUCCUUUUCGAUCUUCUUCUUGAAGAUACAUUUGCACCCAACUGUCUUUUCGACUUGCUGCAUGAUAAACCAAAUUCCAAACUUGGUUGUAAUACAUGGAAUGGAUCUUGCUGUCCAUUGCCUCUUUCCAUUUGGCAGCCUCAGGGCUCACCAUCACUUUCUUGUAGUUAGUCAGCUCAUCCAAAUUUACCAGUGUACCAUCACUGAUAAACGUGUCACCGUCUGAUGUUAUAUGGAAACCGUAGAACUCAGGUGGCAUGCUAACUCUACUGUAUCAAUAAAGAGAUAAUUAAUUGUAAAUGGGCUCAACAGGAGUCUCAUCCUAUGGUUGAGAGCUAGUGUCUUCUAAGUUUCUUUCAUUGGUUGAUUAUGGAAUUUCUUCCAAAUCAAUGGCACUUCCAUUUUCCUCUUUGAAUAUGAGCACUCUCUCUCUCAAAAGACUACUCUUAGAGCUAUGAAGACCACGUUCUCACUAGGUCUUUAGAACAAGUAUCCAAAAGACUUUCGUAGGUAACCAAUGAAAAUACACCUCUCACAUCUAGGUUCUAGCUUGUCGUGAGUCUCUCGUCUAACGAAAGCUUCACAACCCCAAACCUUGAUGUGGCCUAGCGAGGGAACUUUUCUUUUCCACAUCUCGUGAGGUGUUUUGGCAACCUUCUUAGUAGGGACAAGACUAAGGAUAUGGGCGGCUAUCUCUAAGGCAUACCCCCAAAAAGAAAUAGGAAGUGAACCUCGACUCAUCAUGGAACACACCAUGUCUAACAAGGUUCGGUUCCUCCUCUCAACCACACCAUUAAGUUGUGGUGUCCUAGGAGGAGUAAAUUAUGAAACUAUUUCACAUUCCUAGAGGUAGUUGUGUAACUCGAUACUAAGAUACUCUCCACCUAUAUCAAAUCGAAGCAUCUUUUUCUUCCUUCCCAGUUGAUUAUCGACCUCGUGUUUAAACUCCUUGAACUUUUCAAAGGUUUUCUUAUUUAUGUUUUAUUAAGUAGAUAUAUCAAUAUCUUCUAUAAUCAUCAGUAAAUGUUACGUAGAAUCGAUUACCAUCCUUUUUGGUUGAUCUGAAGGGUCCACACACAUAUGUGUGUAUGAGAUCCAACAAACCUUCACCUCUUUCACAAGAUCUAGUGAAUGGUGAUUUUGUCAUCUUACCUAAAAGACAAUAUUCAUAUUCAUCAUAUGUUCUGAAGUUAAAUGAUUCCAACACUCCAUCCUUUUGGAGUUGGGAGAUGAGUUUCUUGUUAAUGUGUCGAAGACAACAAUGCCACAAGCAUGCUUUGUUUACACCAUUAGACAAAUCAAUAUUUAAUAUACUAUUGCCUAAGCUAUCAGUAGAAAUAACGGUUUCAUAUACACCAUUGCAAAGCAAAGAUUCAAACAUAAAAACAACAUUUUUAUAAUCUAAAAUCGAACCAUUCGUAUUAUUAAAAGAAUAUUGAAAUCCUUGUCUAAACAAUGCAUGAAAAGAAAUAAUGUUUCGUAUAGCAAACAAUAAUGUAAAAUAAACUAAACUAUUCAUAACUCUACUUCAAUCUUCAACUUGAUCUCUCCAGCUAAUGCAAAAUAAAAACUUUCUUCAGUUCCUUAAGUGGAUUGAUCUCUUCUAAGCUCAACACUUCAUUCUUUAGUUCCUGCAAUACCAAGCAUAUGUGAAAAACACAUCUAGUAUCAAGAACUAAUGUCUUUAGUAGUAUGAAAUGUUUCGAUAACUACCUGGACUGGAUUCAGUUUCUUGAACCGAAUCAUCCUCAUCAUGGUUUAGGUAUUCAUGGUAGCUUCUUUUAAUGUAGUCUUUUAAUUCACAACAAGGACAAUAAGCAUCAACUAAGUCAUGGUUUAGAUCAACUUCAUGGUUAACUUUUCUCUUGAGUUUAUGUUCAAAUAGGGCAUAAGUCUGAUUAUUAGGGUUUUAAACCAUCUUAUAACCUUUAGACCUCAUUUCUAUCAGCCUCCUUUGCCUCUAAACGUCCCUAGAAACCCUAAUAGCCAUGGGAACUAAGUUUGAGCUUGGAGUGUCAUAAGGAAGCCAUUUUUGGGUGUGUUUGCAAGGAGAAGAGUUUGUGGUACAAUUCUUGAACAUGUUGAAGCUUCUAGAUCCAGCAUUUCCUUCAUCUUACGGAGCUUCUGGAGGUAUAAAGUCCAUACCUUGCUCAUAUAUUGUUUAGAUAUCCUUUUUGGACUUUUUUUGGUCUAUUUCAUCUUUUUUUGAAGGUCUUGAUGUGUCAAGACCAUUUGUGAUGCCAAAUUUGUAGAUCAAGACAUUUAAUGGCCUCUCCUAACUUAAAGGUGCAAACUUUAUGGUGUUUGUGACCUCCAUGCAAGCAUUAAGUCAUGUAUUAAGUUCUUUUGGGCUUCAUUAAGCCAUGCAUACACGUAAAUUUGGCAACUUUACGCGAUUACCCACCUCAAAGAGGUCAGAUCUGAGUAUUGGAUCAAAUGUUUGAACCAAAUAAGAGCUUAAUGUCAUAGUUGGCAAAUCAGAGGAUUACGUUAGGCGUACAAGCUCAUACGUGCAGCGUAUAGGCCCUUAAGCAUGUACGCUUAGCGUACAAGCUGAGUACGCCCCGUGUACUCAGCAGAGGGUUUCAGUAAUUUAGGCCUUCGGUGUGGGCUUUGCAUGUGGACUUUAGGAGCUUAGGGUUGCAUCGUGGGUUGUGGCCUGGUUAAAUUUAGGUUGGUUAAAUUCCAUCGUGGGCCUCUAGGGUCAUGAGUUGGUCCUUUUAGGCCUUAGACCCAUUAGUGUAAAUGGGCCAAGUUUGGUGGGUCCUGUUAUAAGGAAAAUUCUUUUAGGCCUUAUGGCCCAUUAUAGUUUGGACUUUGAUGCUAGGCCCAUUAGUGCAGGAAAGACUUUUGGGCCAUAAUGGAGGGAUUUAGACUUAGGAUUUUAGGCCCAUAACUAGGCUGUUUCAUAAUCCUAAUUAGGGUUAUUUGUAUAUCUAUGCAUUGUGGGAUUUUGGAUUGGUAGUCGGACGAUAUUGUUUCAGCAGACUGAGGUGAGUCUUUUCAUUAUACCAAUGGGUCGAAGGCACCAAUGUUGGCCCAUUACUUGACAUGAGAUCUUAAUAGUUGAUAUGCAAUGGUUUUGUUAGUUGCCAUGUAAUGACUUAUGUUAAGACCACGGGGGAGCCCAUGGCAUUUGGUUAUCAAACCAUGGGGGAGCCCAUGACACUUAGUUAUAAGACUAUGGGGGAGUCUAUGGCAUUCCAGGUGAAGACCAUAGAGGGAGUCCACGGCAAUCAUAUAUAUAUAUAUAUAUAUAUAUANUAUAUAUAUAUAUAUAUGUUGCAUGGUAUUAUGUGGUUCUAUGUGUUUUGUAUUUUGGGAACUCAUUAAGCGUUUGCUUAUAGUUUGUUGCGUGUUUCAGGUACUUCUGGUUCUAAGGGGAAAGGUCUGACAUCAUGGCACAACAUUCACUCUCCAGUAUUUUCGCAUUAUUGUUUUGGAUACUUUGAUCCUUUGGAUAUGAUUUAAUGUAAUGGACUUUUGAAAAACAAAACAUGAUUGUAAUUUCUAAAUAUUAAAUGAAAAUUUUAUCUAAAUUUCCAGGUUGUUACAAGUUGGUCUAAAAGCCUUGGUUUGAGGGAUUCGAGCACACUCUCGGGUGUCUCAGAAAUCAAACUGAGGAAAUGGUAAACAUUUUUCAAAAGAAACAAAAGUUAUAUUUUUCUGAAAAUGGUUUUCUUAAGCAAAGAGGAGAGUGCGAUGCGCGAUAUCGGCCGAGUCCAAGUAAGUAUACCCAAUGUGUUAGCCAUAGAAAUAUAUUCUUGAAAUUGAUGUUGACUUGAUUAUUUGCUAAGUGUAUGCUUUCAAAGUUGUAUAUGUAUAGGAUUGCAUAGCCCUAGAAUGAUAGAUUUUGCCUUAUUUCCUAUUCCUUGUUUGGUUGUGGUUUUAGGGUAGAAGCUUUAUUUAACAGUAUAUGUGAUUCUAUUUGUGUAUAACUUUCAUGCAUAGGGCAACCUAGGAUAAUUGAUUUAUGUUUCUGUUUCGGUGAGGAUUGGGAAAUCCUAGAAUAGUCUAGGAUCUGAGUUUGUGUUGUGUUUUGUUGGUCAUGUUUAUCUAUAGUUGGGUGAAUUAGGGGUAUCAGGUAUGGCCUUUGGGAAGGUACAGGUAGGUGUGGAAGGUAGUAUUGGGCCCAUACUACUAGAAGCACAGGACCUGUACCCGAAACAAGGACAGACCUGGAAGCACUGAGGAGUCCGGUGCGGAGGAAUCCUUUCGAACUUCCUUAUCAAUUGCUUUUUAUGUUGUAUUUUUCAGUUGAGGAUGGUGAUGAUUACGUGAGGAGGUCCAGGUUCGGGAUCAGCAUCUGGAUCAGGUUCAGGCUCUGAUGCGGAGCCAAUUGAUGAGAGGUUAUGCGAGCUUAUCGCGACUGAGGUUACUCGUGGCAUCCUUGACACUACCCUGGUAAUUUUCGGUACCGUCAAGGAAGGGAUCUUGGAGAUUAUGGAGGAGCGGAUCAGGUAUUUCCGAGCCGAGAUCACGGCAAGUCAGGUUGGGAGUCAAACUCCUUCGUUCCCGGAGUUCAAGGUGUGUGGUGCACCUGAUCUCUUUGGGGUUAAGGACCCCAUCGCUAGUCAUCGUUGGAAAGCUGACAUGGAGAAUUCUCAGCGCAUGAGUUUUUUCCUGGAUGUAGCAAAGCUGGGAUUCACGUCCUGUAUGUUGAGGGACUGAGCUCGGGACUGGUGGGAGGAGGUUACCCGCAAGGUGGGAUCAGUGGGUGUGACUAAGAUGAAUUGAGAAGAGUUUGUCCGAAGAUUUGAUCGGGAGUUUGCAUUGGCCAUUGAGGUGCAACAAUUAGAGAGGGAGUCCCAGGACCUUCACCAAACUAUGGAGUUGGGGGCGGAGAUUACUGCCAAGUUUAGAGAGAGGGCACUGUUGAUUCCACAGUAUGCUGCGGAUGAAGAGAUAAGGAAGAAAAUAUAUCAUGUUAUGCUAAGGGAUGAUAUCUAGGAGUUUGUGAGUUUCUUAGGGUGCAAGACCCUGAAUGACAUGGUGAAGAAGACCCGGGAAUGGGAAAUUAGUUGGAGCUCCGGACAAAGCGGAAGUCGAAGCAGGUUCAGACGACAGUGGGUCAGGAUAAGAAGCCUAAGACCUUCGAUCCUCCUAGCAGAGGGUAGCAGGGUCGGGGCCGCUGUGCCAAAGCGACAGGCCGCACAGUGGAGCAUGUCGGGUAGCAGGCUCGGCAUGUUACUCUGGUGGCCAGCCGGGCCACGUGACCCGGGAUUGCCCCAAGAACGGCUUGAUUUGUUUUUAGUGCAACCAGACCGGUCAUAGAAAAGCCGAUUGUCUCAGGUUGUCUGGAGGAGCAAUGGCUGCGCCUGCGCCCGCCACAAUGAGGAUUACGGAUGGAUGCCCGAUCAAGGAGGAGGAUCCUGCAAUGAAGAGCAGGGCAUUUCAGCUGACCACAGAGGAGGCCCGAGCAGCGUCGAACAUCGUGACUGGGACCUUUUUGGUCAAUGGAUUUUCGGAUCAUGUUCUUUUUUGAUUCGGGGGCUACCCGAUCAUUUGUAUCUAUUGCACUCAGCAAGAAGUUUCGAGAUGCUCCGGGGACUUUCGACUCCCCUCUCGAGGCGUAGAUUGCAGAUGACCGCACUGUGAGCGUUGCGAGGGUAUUUCGGAGGGGUACUAUGUGCAUGUUUGGUGAGAGGUUUCUUAUCGAUUUGGUACCAAUUCCUUUGAGGGGAUUGAAAGUAAUCAUCAGGAUGGACUUGUUGGGGCCUAAUGGGGUCGUAAUUGAUUGUGAGCAGUAGCUGGUGAGAGUUUGAACGCCAAGUGGGGGAGAACUGGUUAUUUAUGGUGAGAGAGCCUCGCAUUGGCCAGCUCUAUGUUCGGCUGCGAGGGCUAGGAGACUUCUUCAGCAGGUUUGUUCUAGGUUUCUGACUUAUGUCUCGGAUUAAAAGUUGGAGGCCAUGACAUAGUUGAGCAAGGUACCUAUUUUGCGAGAUUUUUCCAAUAUUUUUCUAGAGGAGUUGCUUGGGGUGUCUCCCGAGAGGCAGGUUAAGUUUCGGAUUGAUUUUAUGGAUGGUGAGGCUCUAAUAGCCAAGGCUUCAUAUCGUUUAGCUCUGCCUAAGAUGCGAGAGUUGUCUACGCAGCUGCAGGAGUUGCUAGACCGGGGAUUUAUUCGUCCGAGCAGUUCCCCGUGGGGAGCACCGAUCCUAUUCGUGAAAAAUAAGGAUGGGUCUCAGAGGAUGUGUAUUAAUUAUCGGGAACUAAACAAGAUGACAGUGAAGAAUCGUUACCCGCUUCCGAUGAUCGAUGAUUUAUUUGAUCGGGUUCAGGAUGCCUCUUUGUUUUCCAAGAUUGAUCUUCGAUCAGGGUAUCAUCAGAUGAGGAUCAGGGAUGAGGAUAUACCAAAGACGAUCUUCAGAACUCGUUAUGGUCAUUACGAGUUCGUGGUGAUGCCAUUCGGGCUCACCAAUGCCCCAGCAACAUUUAUGGAUCUUAUGAACCGGGUUUGCAGGUCGAUGCUGGAUGGGUAUGUGAUUGUUUUCAUUAAUGAUAUCUUGGUAUAAUCUAAGACCAAGGAGUAGCAUGAGCGGCAUUUGAGGGAGGUGUUGGAGACUUCGAGCAGGGAGAGGCUUUAUGCCAAAUUCUCCAAAUGCGAGUUUUGGUUAUGUGUGGUGCAGUGUCUGGGGCACAUCAUCAACCAAGCAGGUAUCUUGGUGGAUCCGGCCAAGAUUGAGGCGGUGAUGCGUUAGGAGGUCCCGAAGAAUGCAUCCGAGAUCUGGAGUUUCUUGGGUCUGGCUGGGUACUAUCAGAGAUGUAUCCAAGACUUCUCCAAGAUUGCAGUACCUUUGACCCUCUUGACCAAGAAGAGUGUGACCUUUUGGUGGGUCCACAUUAGAAAUUGACAUUUAAGACCUUUAGACAAAAAUUAUGUGAGGCCCCGAUUCUAGCCCUACCCGAGGGAUUGGUUGAUUUUCUGGUGUAUUGUGACGCUUCUAUUUCGGGUUUGGCAGUUGUCCUGAUGUAAAUAGGACAUGUGAUUACUUAUGCCACAAGGCAGCUGAAGCCUCAUGAGACGAAUUACCCCACUCAUGACUUGGAAUUGUGAGCAGUGGUAGUUUCCCUCAAAAUUUGGAGGCAUUACUUAUAUGGGGUCUGAUAUUUGCAUAUUUAGCCUCAUAAUAAGUAUAGAUUUUUAUCAUUUAUUAGCUAAUUUAUCACAUAUCAUGGACAAAAGGUACUUAAUAAUGCUUGAAUUGUGUUUUCAGUCCAAAAGUGAAGCUCGGAAGCAAAAGGAAGCAAGAGAAGCGGUUGGGAGCUCGGGAAUUGAACAAAGAAGAAAACCACCAAAAACAACACUUACUCGGCGAGUAGGGACGACUACUCGGCGAGUCCAAUCGAAGAUUCGAGAAGAUAAAGACUCCGGGACUUAUCGUGUACGGGAAUUAAGAGAUGGACUCGGCAAGUCGGCAAUGGACUCGACGAGUCGUUUCGCAUCUAUAAAGAUAACUUCUUAGAUCGACAUUCGACAUUUUGGAACCAUUUUGGAGAGAAUAGUUGCGAUUGAAGAGUCAGAAGAACCCUAGAGAACAAAGAUACAACCUAGAAUCCAAUUCCGAAGGAGAUUUGAGGCAAAUUCUCAUCAUUCUACUUAAUCUUUUGUUUUCCAUUAUGGUUAGACAAUUAGAAUUCGUUUUAUUGCUGUUAAUUACCUCAAUCAUGAGCUAAAACUCUUAAACUUCUGUUUGGGGAUACAAUAUUGAUACUAUGGUUUGAUUUAUGGUAGGAUUAAUUCAAUGUUGGUGAUUUUGUUGAUUUUAGCUUGUUAAAGAACUUUGUGUGUGAAUAAUAACUAUUUUUCUGUUAAUAGGAAGAUAAUUAAAUAGUAUGAACAUCUUUUAAUUGUCAACCUCAUAUGCUUAUGUGACCACUUCAUCAUAUGACUAGAAUUAUUAAGAAAAAUAGGUAAAUUCAUAUAUGAGCUUGUGUGAUGACCAUCAACAAGAAGUUAACUAAAGGACCAAAUUAGUUAGCUAUUACAAGUCUAAAUUAACCCGCACAAAUAAUCUAGUGAAUUAAAUUAAAUUAGACAACUGAUCACUGUUUGAGUUAGUUUAUUCUCUAAGGAUUCGUGCAGCGAAUGUGAAUCCAAUCACUUGAAUCGGUAACCAAUAGAAGAAUUAAUCCAUUGCACAAUUACCAUAAUAUCAACCAUAGGAUCAAUUGAGUUGAACUAAACAAAAGUCCUUCCCAUUAUUGAAUCUAGUUAAUUCUUUGCUUUUCUAGUUUUUACUUUAAGUGAUAGUUAGUAAGUUUAUAGUCUUGUAAAACUAGAGAAAACCCCUACUUAUUAAUUAAUUUAGAUAAAAUUAGUUUUUAGUUUUAAUUUACCGUUCCCUGUGUUCGAUACCCUACUUAUUUAGCUAUACCACAAUUGAUAGGUCCACUGCCUUUGUGUGUUCAUUUCAUAAUUAAAAGUAGGUUUAAAACUAAGUGAGUUUACACACAUCAAGUUUUUGGCGUCGUUUCCAGGGAACGGUUCAAAUAGUUAAUUUUAUUUGGUAAAUGUUAUCGUUUUUAUUUUAUUGAUUAGUUUUUUUUUAAUUUUAAUUUUUAUUUAUUAUGUAUUUUCCAAAUCUCGAUGCUUUUGAUGCUUUUCUUGAGGAAGUAGUGCAGGAAAUUGAGCAGGAAGAUGAGGAUUAUGACUCAGAUGAUGAUUUGAAGAAAUUUGGAAGAUGGUUAGAUAACUUCUUGUCUAAUGAUCAAGAACAAUUUGAGUCACAAGAGCUAAGGUUACAAGAUGAAGAAUUUAAUCCAGAAAGAGAUUUGGAGGAGUUGGAAAGGUUGUUAGCAGAGAGGUCGGACGAAGAACAAAACAAACUGAAUUGCAGGAUCCAAGUUGUGGUUUGACCAUUACCACGACAUUGUCCCUUAUUCUUCCAGUUUGUGUUUCGAAGCAUGGGGUGACGAUCCCAACUUUGGAGAAAGUUCUGAAGCGCGAUCCAUUUCUGAUUAGUACCCGACCGGUCCCAACCCUUGUCAGAAUUCUUGGGUUUAUGUAUUCAAGCUCGUUUGGCCAAUUUCAGAAGAAAAGAGCCAAAUUUUACAAAUUGGUCCAAAGAAAAUAUUUAAUGCAACAGAUGGAUUGGCAUUGAGUUUAUUAGAAGUUUAUUAAGUUGAGAGUCCAACUCAAGACUCGCACAAAAAGAAGCGCUUGCGGGAGGCAACCCGUCAUUAGAGUUUGCUUUUCUUUUUCUUUUUAAACUUCUAGUUUAUUAGGGUAAUUUAGGAAUUUAAUUUUGAUGUUUGUUUUCCUUUUUCUAUUACUUGUGUUUUGUUUUGAUCUUUUCAGUUUGAAGCUUAGGAUUGCAUGUGAGGGUCUAGAGUCAAGGCCGACGAAGCAAGAAAUGAGUCUAGGCNAGAGAGGAAACGAAGUUUUGAGUCAAGCUAUGAGUCCAAUUGAUAGAAGGGUUAUAGAGUGUUUAUUCCCUAAAGAAAAAUGAGGGAAAUUAUUGGUUUAUAUAACCCCCUUACAUCAGAAACGGACUUGGGCAGAAUAAAAAUUAUUGGUUUAUGGGCAUUGGUUCUAUUCUUUGAAGAUCAUUCACCGAGCAUUUCCAAGAGUUUCUCUUAUAUUUGGAGCUUUUAUAAAGACUGUACCACACGAGAUUUGGACACCCAAGACAUGGAUGAUUUGUUCCCAUGUCUAAAGUCAAUUGAAGAUGGAGCUGAAGAGAAGAGAUAUCAACCGAGCCACUACUAUCCCAGGGUAGUUUGUUCCAAUUCUCUCCUUAUUUUUAUUGUUCUUUAUCAUGCAUGAUAUGCAAUGGGGACAUUGCAUAAAUUAAGUGUGGGGUAGGGAGUUGGUUGGUUACACUAGUUAAAUUUUAAAAUUUUGCAUAAAAUUUGCUAGGAUUAAUUUAGAAAAUUUUGGUAAGGCAAUUAGGGAUCAUGCUAGUAUUAUAUUGGAUGAUUCUAUGAAGACCCAAAUUUUUAGUUGAGCCAAUAUACGUUCUAGUGCAUUUGUGGCCUCCUUUAUUCUAGUGAAAUCAUGGGACAAAAACACAACCUCGCUUAGUUUGUGGAUCGCAAUAUGUUUAGCAUCGUGUACCAAAAAUGUAUCUAGGAAAAUAUUUAUCUUUAAUCAAUAAAGGUUGAAGUUGAGCACCCUUGCUUAAGCAUGUAGGUUUUGAGUGAAAAAAAGUGAGUUACAUGUAAAAAAGAGAGAGAAUUACAAGAAAAGUUGUAAGAAUUUUGGAGCAGAUAAAGUGAAGGUCAAAAGAUCAAAAUUCCAAGAGUUCAAAAAUUGAAGAUACCAAAAAUCAAACAACAAGGUCGUGAAUUCAAAGAAAUCAAAGAUCAAAUACCAAAGAAAUGAAUAAUUCCAAAGAGCUCCAAUGUGGUAUCAUAAAUUGUAAUUCUAGAUUAUGUAUGCUUGGGUUGCUCAACCAAAAAUACCUUGAGGAUAGGAGGUUUUAUGUGGAUGGAUUCGGAGGGAUGCAUAAAAUGAGCAUUGUUCAGGAUAAGUGGGCGAAUGUUUAUGAGGAUUGUGAGUAUAUGGAGUAUGGGGGUUAUUAGGAAAAUUUUUAGAUACAAAUGCAUGCGUUGCGGUCUUGGCAUAAUGGUUGGUUGGAUUGGAGUUGUCAUAUGUGAUUAUAAUGAGCUAAAAUUCAGUUUUGCUUGGGAGCAAGCAAAAGUCAAGUGUGUGGUAUUUUGAUAUUUGCAUAUUUAGCCUCAUAAUAAGUAUAGAUUUUUAUCAUUUAUUAGCUAAUUUAUCGCAUAUCAUGGACAAAACGCACUUAAUAAUGCUUGAAUUGUGUUUUCAGUCCAAGAGUGAAGCUCGGAAGCAAAAGGAAGCAGGAGAAGCGGUUGGGAGCUCGGGAAUUAAACAAAGAAGAAAACCACCAAAAACAACACCUACUCGGCGAGUAGGGACGACUACUCGGCGAGUCCGAUCGAAGAUUCGAGAAGAUAAAGACUUUGGGACUUAUCGUGUACGGGAAUUAAGAGAUGGACUCGGCGAGUCGGCAAUGGACUCGACGAGUCGUUUCGCAUCUAUAAAGAUAACUUCUCUGAUCGACAUUCGACAUUUUGGAACCCUUCUGGAGAGAAUAGUUGCGAUUGAAGAGUCAGAAGAACCCUAGAGAACGAAGAUACAACCUAGAAUCCAAUUCCGAAGGAGAUUUGAGGCAAAUUCUCAUCAUUCUACUUAAUCUUUUGUUUUCCAUUAUGGCUAGACAAUUAGAAUUCGUUUUAUUGCUGUUAAUUUCCUCAAUCAUGAGCUAAAACUCUUAAACUUCUGUUUGGGGAUACAAUAUUGAUACUGUGGUUUGAUUUAUGGUAGGAUUAAUUCAAUGUUGGUGAUUUUGUUGAUUUUAGCUUGUUAAAGAAUCUUGUGUGUGAAUAAUAACUAUUUUUCUGUUAAUAGGAAGAUAAUUAAAUAGUAUGAACAUCUUUUAAUUGUCAACCUCAUAUGCUUAUGUGACCACUUCAUCAUAUGACUAGAAUUAAUAAGAAAAAUAGGUAAAUUCAUGUAUGAGCUUGUGUGAUGACCAUCAACAAGAAGUUAACUAAAGGACCAAAUUAGUUAGCUAUUACAAGUCUAAAUUAACCCGAACAAAUAAUCUAGUGAAUUAAAUUAAAUUAGACAACCGAUCACUGUUUGAGUUAGUUUAUUCUCUAAGGAUUAGUGCAUCGAAUGUGAAUCUAAUCACUUGAAUCGGUAACCAAUAGAAGAAUUAAUCCAUUGCAUAAUUACCAUAAUAUCACCCAUAGGAUUAAUUGAGUUGAACUAAAUAGAAGUCCUUCCCAUUAUUGAAUCUAGUUAAUUCUUUGCUUUUCUAGUUUUUAGUUUAAGUGAUAGUUAGUAAGUUUCUAGUCUUGUAAAACUAGAGAAAACCCCUACUUAUUAAUUAAUUUAGAUAAAAUUAGUUUUUAGUAUUAACUUACCGUUCCCUGUGUUCGAUACCCUACUUAUUUAGCUAUACCACAAUUGAUAGGUCCACUGCCUUUGUGUGUUCAUUUCGUAACUAAAAGUAGGUUUAAAACUAAGUGAGUUUACACACAUCAGGGUCCGAUGCACCAUUUUCACUGAUCACAAGAGUUUGAAAUAUUUGAUGGAUCAGUCGAAUCUGAAUAUGUGGCAGAGGAGAUGGUUAGUCAUGGCGAAAGAUUAUGACUGUGAGAUUUUGUAUCGCCCUGGGAAGGCCAAUGUGGUGGCUGAUGCUUUGAGCCGUAAGGCGCGGUUACCUCACCGGUGAUGGAUAUGAUCAAGGGGCUCAAGUAGAGGGUUUAAGAAAGGAAAAUUGGAAGAUUGAGCAGAUUAGGGAGCAGAUUCCAUUCUUUAUCAUAGACAGUCGGGGUUACUCACUCGAUGUGGUAGAUUUUGGGUUUCGACAAUUGGAGGAGUGAGACAAGAUUUUAAAGGAGGCCCAUAAGUCCAAGUUUUCUAUCCAUCCGGGGGCCAUGAAGAUGUAUCGAGACCUGAGGUUGAACUAUUGGCAGCCCUGCAUGAAGCGGGAAAUUGCUUGGUUUGGUGAGCGGUGUUUAACCUGCAGGAAGGUCAAAGCCGAGCAUCAGAGGCCUCACGGCAAGGUUCAACCGUUACCCAUCCCCCUGUGGAAAUGGGAGGAUAUCACCAUGGACUUUAUCACAAAAUUACCUUGGACGGCGCGGGGUGUUGAUUCUAUUUGGCUUAUUGUGGUAAGGUUGACCAAGAGUGCUCAUUUUAUUCCGAUUUCUGAGAGUAUCUCCAUCGAAAAAUUAGCGGAUAUCUACAUGCGGGAGGUGGUAGUUAGGCACGAAGUGUCGGUAUAUGUGUUCUCAGACCGGGAUGUUUGAUUCACCUCCAGGUUUUAGAGGAAGUUUCAUGAGGAGUUAGGUACUUAACUAUUUUUCAGCAUAGCUUACCACCCCCAAACUUAUGGGCAGAGCGGGCGUACGAUCCAUACGCUUGAGGAUAUGCUUCGGGCAUAUUUUUUAGAGUUCGAAGGGAGUUGGGAUACUUACCUCCCACUAGCAAAGUUCUCUUACAACAACAAUUAUCAUGCUAGUAUUAACCAACCUCCAUUCAAGAUGAUGUAUGGGUGGAGGUGUAGGACUCUAAUUUGUUGGGGGAGGUUGGCCACCGAGUCAUGGGUAGCACCGUAAUGGUGCUUAAAACCACUAAGUUGAUUCAGCAGAUAUGCGAUAGGCUGCGAGUCGCACAGAGCCAUCCGAAAAGCAAUGUUGACCGACACCGUUUGGAUCUUGAGUUUCUGGUGGGGGAUUUUGUUUUGCUGAAGGUGUCACCUUGAAAAGGUGUCAUAUGAUUUAGGAAGAGGGGUAAGUUGGGAUCCCGAUUCAUUGGUCCAUUCAGGAUUUCUGCCCGAGUUGGCAAGGUUGCUUAUCGGCUGGAUCUUCUUGAUGAGCUCAGUCAGAUCCAUAACACCUUCAAUGCGUCUUAGCUCCAAAGGUGUGUAGUAGAUGAGGCUGCAUUUAUUUCAUUGGAUGAUAUUCAGGUGGAUAAGAUCUUGAACUAUGUUGAAAAUCCCAUUGCAAUCUUGGAUAGAAACACUAAAGUUCUUCCUAACAAGGUGGUGAUGUUGGUAAAGGUGCAAUGGCAGCACCGGAAGGGCUCUGAAUGGACUUGGGAACCGGAGGACGAGAUGCAGGGGCAUUACCCGGAUAUUUUUGCAUCAGCGGACUUCGGGGACGAAGUCUAGUUCAAGUAGGGGAGAGUUGUAACACUCAAAUCCAGGUAUUCCGUUUUUACCCUCAUAGUAUUUCAUUUUUGGCAAAUAAGGACCCUCCGUACGAUGUACGCUGGGUGUACAUAUGAGUACGCUUAGCGUACGCUUGUGCAUGCAGUGGGUGGCUGAGGCUCGUAUGCGGCGUGUACAAGCAUGUACACGGGGCAUACGAGACCAUUGACCAAAACCCUAAUUUCUUGGCUUGGACCCUAUUUAAACACACUUAUACCGUUUUGACCAAACCCUAAUCAACCUCCAUAGCAUUUGUUUUCGUCCUUAAACCUUAUUUUUUCAAGAGAGUGUGAGUUUUGAGCCUAAAGGUGAUUUUGGUGGCCAUUAUAGUGGAUUUGCAAGAAGACGAAGGUGGUAUUCAAGCUUUGAACAUGGGAAGAGCUGGAGGAUCUUGCAUCUAGAGUAUCUUGGGGAGAUUUUGAAGUGUGAUAUUUUGGACUGGUAGUCGAGCAGCUAUUAUUUUCAGCAGAUUAAGAUGAGUCUUCUCAUCAUACCAAUGGGUCAAAGGCACCAAUGUUGGCCCAUCAUCUGAUAUGUGGACUUGAUUGUUGAUAUGCAAUGGUAUGUUGGUUGGCAUGUAACGAUCUAUGUGAAGACCAUGGGGGAAGCCCAUGACACCUGGUUAUCAGACCAUGGGAAGGAGUCCAUGGCAUUCCAAGUAAAGACCAUGGGGGUAGCCCAUGACACUUGGUUACUAGACCAUGGGGGNNNNNNNNNNNNNNNNNNNNNNNNGGGGGGGGGGGGGGGGAGCCUAUGGCAUUCCAGGUGAAGACCAUGGAGGGAGUCCAUGACAAUCCUAUGUAUAUCUAUAUGUUGCAUGACAUUACUUGAUUGUAUGUUUUGUUUAUUUUGGGGACUCACUAAGCGUUUGCUUACAGUUUGUUGGAUGUUUCAGGUACUUCUGGUUGUAAGGGCAAGGGCCCGACUUGAUGGCGCAACAUCCACUCUCCAGUAUUCCGAAUUUCUUGUUUUGGAUACUCUAAUCUUAUGGACAUGAGUUUAUGAAAUGGAAUUUUGGAAAAACAAACAUGGUUUUAAUUUCUAAAUACUAAUUGAAAAAAAAUUAUCUAAAUUGUCGGUCUAUUACACAUGUUCAAAGCCUUGUGAACAUUAAAGACCAUCGAGAAAACCGGUUCAAGCAUGGAUCAAUUAGUUGUUAUUUUUACUAUAUGUAAAAGCCCAGUUUAUCAUCAUACACACACAUUCUAACUUCUACUCUCACUCUUAUUCUCUCGAUACUUAAGUAUUUACACCUACUACAUGACCAACUAACUCUUGUAAUUUUAUUUCGAUUAAUAUAAAUUCUAAAGCAUGUGAUUUCAUCACCUACCGAUGUUUUAUGUCAGAGAUCCAACAUGAUUAAGGGCUUUCCUCGUACAUCAAUGCGUUAUUGUAUUUGCUUUUACUUAUUUACCAUUGUUUGAUCAAUUACAAUAUUUUCUAAUAUUUACUUGAUUGUUUAUUUGAUUUUAUUAAUAAAACUUCCAAGAUAUUUUGUAGAAUCUUAGUACUGUUGGAAUAGUGUCUAAGGCUGCAACUAUAUUAGGAAAGUAUUUGACCCGGUUGUGCAUGGUCCUUUUGGGUUGCCUUCACCAUAGCAACUUGACAGGAUGAUUUGUAAUGAGAGAAGAAAUAUUAUUAAUAUAUUAUGAGAAUAAUAUAAGGAAUAAUAAUAUUAUUAUUUGAUUAAUAUAAGUCAUAAAUUAAUUAGGAAUUAAUUUGGUGACUUACAAAGAUUAAUUAAAUAGAAGGGCAUAAAUUGUCUAUUGUAUGAUAGUUGUACUUUGAGCUAUAAUCCUUUAUGGAUAAAGGGGGGGGGNCUAUAAUCCCUUAUGGAUAAGGGGGGACGGUUUUGAGGCUUAGGAUAGACCUUGAAAUCGUCCAAGGCUUAUCAUUAGGGUAUUGGAUUUCUUAGGGCUUAAGUUAUCCAAUUAGGGUUUAAGGGUGAAACCCUAGGAGCCUCACUAGUAUAAAUAGACCCUAGGGGUUAAGGGAAAUCGACACACUUUGUCUCUACAGAAACCCUGGCCGAUUUCUUCCUCCUCUCUCCUCUCUCUAUAAUCAUCCUCUUGCUAGUUGGUGUUUGUAAGCCAUUAGAGGAGUGACAAUUGUGACUCUAAAGCUCCAAGGACAAGAAGAUUCAAGCAAGUCAUCAAAGGUAAUCUUCUAAAUCUGAUUUCUUAUGUUAUUAUACUAGAAUUGUCAUUAGAAGUCUUGGAUUCAAUGCAUGUUCAAUUAGAGAAACCUAGAUCCAAGCAUUAGGGUUUGUAUGUGCACAUAGGAAUGUUCAUAUGGCUAAAACCCAUCAAGUACCUUUUUGAGUAUUUUGAGAUUUAUUAUACAAAUUCACUUGUUUGACAAUUAUCAAGGUUUUCAUGGGUUUUUAGUCCAUUCCGUCUUAGUUCGUUUAUUUGGAGCCGUUAGGGUCAUCACAUGCCCUCCUUAUGAGGGAAUUUUGGACAUUUUGCUUCCCAAUCUCUAUUGUCGCCACUUCAAUUAAUAAGAUUGCAGACUGUACUUCACUCCUUCGUCUUCUGUCAUACCUCAUUUAUCAAUCAAGACGCAAAAACCCUAACCAUUGUGUGAGAAUCAAUUUUCGUCCAUGCUUUUGAAAAUGUGGGGACUUAAAAAUGUUGGAGAGAAUGUUAAUGUUCAAGAAGUUUAUGGUAAGAUUCUCUAUAUAUGAUGAUCAAGUUUCAAACUUUGAAAAACUCUAACAAUCGUCUCUUUCUGUUUUAAAGAUGGUUACUCCAACAUAACUUCAUCAUGGAGGGAGUUUCAAAUAGUUUCCAAAUAUCAGGUAUAUUAAUGGGCAAGUUAGGUACUUUGAUGUUGUCGGCAUUGAUGAAUUUUAUGCGCAUGAACUAGACUUGAUAAUGAGAGAAUUAAGGUAUGACGGUACUGAAAUCAUGUAUUACCCUUUCUGUUUGCCUAAUGAAGGAUUUGACUCUGGAUUACGAGCAUUAGAUAAUGAUGAUGAUGUACGUAAUCUCUUACAGUAUGUUACCCAUAACAAAGUGAUUAAAGUGUACACAGAGCAUGGUCAAACGAACUUGCUUACAUAUUUUAUGUCCCCAAAUGGUCCAAGAAGGGUUAUAACAUAAGACAUGGACAAUCAGGAUCCUCCUAGACCCUCAUCACCUGUAGUUUCUCAUAAAAUGGUAACUCCAAUCCAAAUUGAUGUUGAUGAGGGUGAUUUUGGGUUAGCAUUAACAUUAUACAAGCCAGCAACACCUUAAUUUAGUAGGUCUAAAGGUUAUAAACAUAGUAAAGGAGGGGUCAUAUUGUAGUAGAAAACUUAACUUGGAUUAGGAAGGUGGUGAAAAAACAAUGGCAAGUGGUGAAGUUGAUAAAUGUAAGGGUGUUAAGCCAAUGCAUCCAGAAUUUGUUAUAGUUGAUGCAGAAAAAGAGUUAAACAAAGAGAUUGAUGUGAAUGAAGAAAUUUGACAUGAAAAAAUCCAAUGGUGAGGGUGUAGAAGGAUUUACAGAUGAGGGGUAUAGAGUUGUCAUGGAUAAUGAUCCUCAAGGAGUGAAUGAAUUUUCAACUAACAUCAACAUAGAUGAUGAGUUAAUGACAAACUUUCAACCUUUUGAAGGGUUUGAAGACCAAGAUAGCAUCCCAUUUAAUAGGUUUGAAGGCCAAGAUAAUAUUCCUUUCAAUGGUGAAUGGAGACAUGGAGGAUUUCAAUCAAAAUAUUGAUACAGAAGCAGAGUUCACUGGACAUCAAAGUUUGGGUGGUCAAAGAAAUGAAGAGGGUGAUCAAGAAGAGGAUGCAGAGGUAAUUGAUAUGACGAGCGGGAUUCACUUAGUGAUGACUCAGGGGACAAUAGGAAAAGAAGGGAAAUGAUCAAAGAGUUGGGGAAACAAACAAUAUGUUAUGCUGGUGAGGUGCACAAGGUAGCUUUUUAUACUGGGCAGAAAUAUAAAGCCAAGAAAGAAUUAAAAGAUAGAGUCGACCUACAUGCUUUAGAGACAAGGAGGAAUAUCUCAUUCACAAAAAAUGACAAGAUGUAGAUUAACGAUUAACAGUUGUUUGUGAUGGAACUGUAGUUGUAAAUGCAAGUGGGGUAGGUGGACCUACCUCUGGGAAAAAGGUAAAGGGUAAAUAUGUAAGCUCUGAUAAAGUUAAAUGCACUUGGAAACUUCAUGCAUCUAGGUCAAGUGUACAUGACUAUUGGUUUAUUAAGACAUAUAAUCAAAACACACAUCUGCCUCUAAACACGAAAAAUCAGACCUUAUACAACAACAUUUCUUGCCAAACAAAUUAUGGAUCAGAUUGAAGCUAAUCCUGGUCUGCCUGUUCGUGCCCUACAAGAGCAACUGCAAAAGACAUAUGGGGUUACUAUUUUAGAAGAGAAAUAAUUUAGGGCAAAAGCAGUAGCCACCAAAAAUGUUGUAGGAGAUUACGUAAAGCAAUAUGCAUCUUUGAGAGACUAUGUACUAGAGCUACAAAAGACAAAUGGAAGGUAUAAUUGUAAAGAUUGAUGUGGUUUCUGAACCUGUGGUUUCAUCCCUAACCAGGCAGUUCAAAGGAUAUACGUGUGUUUAGGGCCUUUAAAGAAAGGAUUUAAGGUAGGAUUGAAAGAAUUUUUAGGGUUAGAUUCAUGAAGGGACCUUUCCUAGGUCAAAUACUAAGUGCAAUUGGUGUUGAUUCCAACAAUGGAACCUACCCAUUGGCAUAUGCUGUUGUUGAGAGUGAAAACACUUCAAGUUGGAAAUGAUUUCUUCAAUGUCUUGGAGAAGAUCUUGACUUGUAUUCAAAUUCUGUCACACCCCAAAACCAAGAACGGCGGAAACGUUCUGGGGCGGAGGACGUCAUGUAAGGUAAUCACAACACAGUAAAUGUAAAUAGGCAAACAACAUCAUCCAUUGCAUUAAAUAUAUCAAUUUAAUACAUGUGUGUUCUGUACAGUUUUAGACACCAAAAAUAUAACGUAAAUCAAAAUAACAAAAUGAUGAGUCUUGAGUAUGCUCCAUCAUCUCAAAAGCUGGCAUCGGUACCUGUCUACUGAUGACCUGAGAAUACAAGUUAUUUUGAAAGAGUUUAUCAGCAUUAAGCUGGUGAGUUCAUAAGUAUUUUUGUGUCAAUGUUCAUUGUCAAAAACGUUUGAACUUGUCCCAAAGUAUAAGUUUGUAAAAAUGUAAAUACAUGUUUAAAAGUAUUUGCAAAAGUUUGAAUCUCUCAGAAAAUCCUAUAUUUUCUAUAAAAGUAACCUUCUACCAAGGCUUAACAGUUUUGUAAACUCGUCUGUUGUAAAAGUGUGUGAUUUCCCAAGUAUAACUAUCAUUUGAUAAAAUAUAGUUUGUACAUAAUGCUUAAGUGAGAUUAUCACCAAAAUAUGUAAUGGGUAAAUCAUUGUAGUACUGUAGUUUUGUAUAAUAAGAACUACUGUUGUACUAAUUACUACUACCUUAAACCGGAUUUAUAUUAAGGUAUAAUGUGAUAAUUGCACCAUACUAUCGACUGAUAACAACGACAUAAAGAACGGUCGUAAUAACGGAAUGACGUUUGGCACCCGCAGACCUGCAGGUCCGGCUGUAGCUAGCAGCAAGGUGUAGGAUAGUCAAUCCAGUAUAGAUCUAUACGCAAACUCAACGCUCUCCCUCCAAGAGAAUUCUGGCUACAACUCGGGCCAUGACAUUUAAGGCAUGCUCCGAUACAGUGGAUCACAUUUGUUAUCGUAUUCUUGCAUGUGUGAUGAAAUGUUUCUUGUUCUAGUAUAGUUGUAUAUGUUCUCGUAGUAUAGUUGUAUAUAUUCUCUUCCUAGUAUAGACUCAUGAAUGAACUGACUCAUUGAUCUAGCAGUUGUAAUAGUAUGAUUCUGUGUUACCCCGAUGGUAACUUGUUAACAGUGCGUUUAGUACAUAUGAUUAUGGAAGUACUUUUAUGUCUAUAUAUGUAUAUUUGAUAUAUAAUUAAUAUGGAAACGACCUUCGGAUGGUCACCCAAAAUCCUAUCAGACCACAUCCAAAUCGAGGAAAAGGAAACAAGGUGGAUAGCCUUCCUAAGUCCUUUAAACAUUAUUUAUACGUCUAUACAUAUAUGGGCAUGCAAUUUGUAAUAUAAAAGCAUAAAUAAGUAUUUAUAAGGCAUUUGAAACAUAAGUAUUAUUUUUAAAGAAAGAUUGACUUGAUGUCAAUCUAUAAAACCAUUUGAAGGUGUAGAUUUGAUUAAAACAGUUUAAGUAUAAGGAACAUUUGCUUAAAUCACAGUUGCAGUGUAAAUUCGAAAAGUAAAUGGGUUUGGAAAACAUUUAGAAGUAAAACAGUUUGAUAGAUAGUUUGAAUAGUGAUAAAACCACUGAUUUCCCUAGUUAUUAAUCACAUGUGAUUAGUACAAUCACAUGUGAUUGAAACAAUAACUAUAAGUAUUUAACUUGUAUUCCCCCCCUUUUGAAAGCAUAUAAAAGCAUUUAGAAUAUUUAACAGGUUGAUUAAGGGGUAUGAAACUCACUUGAUUGAUUGAAGAAAGCGAGAUGGAAAACCGGGCAGAGUUUCGUCUCGGAAAACGGAUUUUUCUCGGGAUUCUCGGGAAUCUCGGGAGUAAAAUCGACCCUCGGGACUUGAGCAAAAAGACCAGAGCUUCGGGUUAUAACGGGCACGGAAAACGAGACAAAGUUGUGAGAGAGAGGAGAGAAAUGAGCAACAUUUUCGGAAAGCCUCGCAUCCUAUUUAUAGGAAGGCUGAACCGCCUCCGAACGCGGGGCGUACGCUCGUACGCAGCGCGUACGCGUACGUCAUGCAUGACCGAAGCCUCGACUGCCUCGGUUCGGAUGGGACGGGUUGCUGGGUACGCGGGUCGGAUGGGACGGCGGGUCGGACGGGACAGCGGGUCGGACGGGUCGGAGCUUCGGACGGGUCGGACGGGUUAGAACUCUUCGGAUAGUGCGACGUGGACGAUCCGAGACCCUCGAUCUCAGUACGCGGGGCGUACGAAGGUACGCAGGGCGUACUUCGGUCCAAUCCGAUGACUCCCCUUCGGAUAUUACCGGGAAUUUAUAAUUAAAUUCUUAUUUAUUUUAAAUAAACUUCAAAAAUUCAUAUCUCUCUCAUACGAACUCCGUUUUUGACGUUCUUUAUAUCCACGCGAAGGUGAGACCAUGAUCUACGACUUUCGUUUAGAUUCCGUUGGCAAAUUCCGAAAUUAUUUUUAUUAUUUAUUUAUUAAAAUGACGUGAUUAAGGAAUUUCUUCAAAAAUUCAUAACUUCCUCAUCCGAAGUCAGAUUUGGACGUUCUUUUUAUGUACGCAAACCUUGAUAUGAUUCCUAUUACUUUAUUUAAUCCGAAUAAGAUUUUAGGAAGGUUACAUUUUGACCUAAAUUUGAUCGGUUUUACAUUACAUUGACUCGAAAUAUCGGGUUGUCACAUCAUCCCCCCGUUAGAAGGAAUUUCGUCCCGAAAUUAGAAUUUUAAGCAAGCUAGAAUUUACAAAUAACUAAGCAAAAAGGUGAGGGUAUUUCAGUUUCAUCUGAUCCUCACGUUCCCAAGUGAAUUCCGGUCCUCGCUUGGCAUUCCAGCGAACCUUCACGAUAGGGAUACGGCUUUGCUUUGUCUGCUUGACCUCACGGUCCAUGAUCUCUAUAGGUUCUUCCACGAAGUUGAGGCUCUCGUUGAUUUCGAUCUCGUCGAGUGGGAUUACAAGAGUCUCGUCGGAUAGACACUUUUUCAAGUUAGAUACGUGGAAUGUAGAAUGUACGUUACGAAGUGCGUCUGGUAGUUCGAGUUUGUAAGCUACGGGGCCGACUCUUGCAAGAAUCUCGAAAGGCCCUAUGUACCUCGGAUUAAGCUUUCCACGCUUGCCGAAGCGUAUCAAGCCCUUCCAGGGUGAGACUUUGAGGAGGACUCGGUCUCCCACCUGAAAUUCCAAAGGUUUCCUUCGUUUAUCAGCGUAGCUCUUCUGUCGGUCUCUAGAGGCUUUCAAUCGUUCACGGAUCUGAACGAUUUUCUCUGUUGUUUCCCGAAUGAUCUCCGGACCGGUGAGAGUACUGUCGGAAGUUUGCCCCCUGGCUAAUUGGGUAUCACCCACCUCAGCCCAGCACAGAGGGGAUCUGCACUUACGGCCGUAGAGAGCUUCAAAUGGAGCAGCCUUGAUGCUCGUGUGAUAACUGUUAUUAUAGGAAAACUCGACAAGGGGUAAAUGAGUAUCCCAUGCCUUCCCAAAGUCAAUCACGCAGGCUCGCAACAUAUCUUCUAGAGUUUGGAUGGUCCUCUCACUCUGUCCGUCGGUCUGAGGAUGGUAGGCUGUGCUCAUGUCCAGCCUCGUUCCUAGGGAAUGUUGUAGUGAUUGCCAAAAUCUUGAGGUGAACCUACUAUCUCUAUCGGAGAUAAUGGACAUAGGUACACCAUGUAGCCGUACGAUUUCCCUAAUGUAUGUUCUCGUAAGCUUCUCCAUCUUGUCGGUUUCUUUGAUAGGCAGGAAGUGUGCAGACUUGGUCAAUCUAUCAACGAUGACCCAUAUGGUGUCAAGUCCACCCGUUGUCUUGGGCAACUUGGUUAUGAAAUCCAUAGUGAUCCGCUCCCACUUCCAUUCCGGGAUCUCUGGUUGCUGCAAUAAACCAGAGGGCUUCUGGUACUCGACCUUAACCUUUGCGCAAGUAAGGCAUUUACUUACGAAGGUAGCAAUCUCUGCUUUCAUAUUAGGCCACCAGUAUAGCUUCUUAAGAUCCAGAUACAUCUUAUCUGAACCUGGGUGGACGGAAUACCGAGUGUUGUGCGCCUCGGUCAUGACCAAGUCUCGGAAGCCACCAUGUUUCGGUGUCCAGAUCCGGUUCAUGAAAUAUAAAGCUCCGUCACCCUUGGCUUCUAAAUUCUUGUCCAUUCCUCUAAGGGAUUCACUUGACACAUUUUCAGAUUUCAUGGCCUCAAGUUGAGCCGCCUGAAUUUGCUUAGUCAGGUGUGAAUGGAUGGUUAUCGAUAAUGACUUGACUUUGCGACCAGAAUAUUCCUUCCGACUUAGGGCGUCUGCUACUACGUUGGCUUUACCCGGAUGAUAACGAAUAUCGCAUUCGUAAUCACUGAGUAGCUCGACCCAUCGUCGUUGUCUCAUGUUGAGCUCCUUCUGAUCGAAAAUGUGUUGUAAACUCUUGUGGUCGGUAAAGAUAGUGCUCUUCGUUCCAUACAAGUAAUGUCUCCAGAUCUUCAGAGCAAACACUACUGCUCCUAGUUCAAGAUCGUGGGUCGUGUAGUUAACCUCGUGUGUCUUCAAUUGUCUUGAGGCGUAGGCGAUGACCUUACCUCGCUGCAUCAGAACACAUCCGAGUCCUUGGUUUGAUGCAUCGCAAUAAACUACGAAGUCUUCUAUUCCUUCGGGAAGGGAUAGUAUUGGUGCGGUGCACAAGGCUCGUUUGAGCGUUUGGAACGCUCUUUCUUGUUUCUCUUCCCAGUCAAAGGCCACACCUUUCUGGGUUAGGGUUGUAAGAGGCUUCGCUAUUCGUGAGAAGUUCUGAAUGAACCUGCGGUAGUAGCCAGCGAGACCUAGAAAUUGACGAAUUUCUGUAGGAGUCUUCGGUGCUGACCAGUUCUCAAUGGCCUUAAUUUUGGAUGGGUCCACGUGGAUUCCCUCUUCGCUUACCACGUGUCCUAAGAAUUCGACUCUUCGGAUCCAAAAUUCACAUUUCGAGAACUUCGCAUAAAGUUUCUCUUUUCGUAAUGUCCCUAGAACUUGUCGCAGAUGAUCGCCAUGUUCUUUCUUACUUCGGGAGUAGAUUAGGAUGUCGUCAAUGAAAACGAUGACGAACUGAUCCAAGUAGGGUCGGCAUACUCUAUUCAUCAGAUCCAUGAAGACUGCGGGCGCAUUGGUCAAUCCGAAUGGCAUCACCACGAACUCGUAAUGUCCGUAACGAGUUCGGAAGGCGGUCUUCGGCACAUCCUCCUCUAGCACUCGUAACUGGUGAUAUCCGGAUCUCAGAUCAAUCUUAGAAAAAUAGUUCGCCCCUUGCAGUUGGUCGAAUAGAUCAUCUAUGCGUGGUAGAGGAUAACGAUUCUUGACCGUCAGUUUGUUGAGUUCUCUGUAGUCAAUACACAUACGGAAGGAUCCGUCCUUCUUCUUAACAAACAAGACCGGUGCUCCCCAAGGUGAGAAACUUGGCCUUAUAAAGCCCUUGCUGAGCAGUUCGUUAAGUUGACCAGAGAGUUCUUGCAUCUCGGCUGGUGCUAAACGGUAGGGCGACUUGGCUACUGGGGUAGCUCCUGGGACUAAGUCGAUUCUGAACUCGACUUGUCGUUGCGGAGGUAAUCCGGGUAGUUCUUCUGGGAAAAUGUCGGGGAAGUCGCUCACUACUGGGAGGUUCUUUAGUUCUUUCGUUUCUAGGUUCGUGUCGACGACGUGAGCAAGGAAUGCGUGGUAUUCCUUACGCAGGUAUUUCUGUGCUUGAAUACUUGAUAUGAUGCGAAGACUUGCACCGGGUUUGUCGCCAUAGACUAUAAGAGUUUCGUUAGACGGAAGGUUUAGACGGACUGCUUUCUCGAAGCACAUGAUGUCGGCACGAUGAAGGCUUAACCAGUCCAUGCCAAUGAUGACGUCGAAACUUUUUAUUGAGACUGGCAUGAGGUCGAUUGGAAAUGAAUGGUUGUCUAGGGUUAGGGUACAACCUAAGUAUAUGCUACUCGUAUUUUCAGUUUUUCCAUUAGCCAUUUCUACUGUAAAUAGUUCUUUGAGUGCGUGCGGUGGUUGAUUAAGCAUGCGAGCAAAUUUAUGGUUUACGAAGCUUCGCUCCGCUCCACUAUCGAAUAGAAUGCAUGCAUAGGAGUUAUCGAGGAGGAACGUACCGGUUACUACUGUCGGGUCAGCAACUGCUUCCCCGUGGCCUAUAGCCAGUACCCUCCCUGCUCCUCCAGCAUUCCUCGCUUUGGGGCAGUCCCUCUUAAAGUGGCCUGCUUCGCCACAUCCAUAGCAGGUUGGGCUCGCGCCAGAGCCAGGGACUUGGUUGAUAGGUUGUGCCGGGAACUUACAGAAUCGGACGGUGUGUCCUUUCCUGUUGCAGUUAGAGCACUGCAAUUCACGGCAGGGGCCGUUGUGGUGGUAGCUGCAUUUGUUGCACUUGGGCGAACUUCCAGCAUACCGACUCACCGGAGCAGUAGUAGCAGCAGUAGGGGUUACUGCGGCAUGAAUUGCCACCAAUUGCUGCUUUUUGGCAGCCUGAUGCUUCUUCCUUUCAUCCCAGAAUUUCCGCUUAGUAUCGGCGGGUUUGGAGGGUUCCGGGAUGGCUAGGGUGGUUGUGGUUGCAGGGGUUUUGACUCCAUGGUCAAUGAGUCGUUGUGCCAAUCGUUUGGCACUGUCGAAGGUAGCGGGGUUUGACGCUAGCACAUUCCCCUGAUACGGAGGCACUAGUCCCCAUAUGUACCUCUCGAUCUUCUUCCCCUCGGUGGGAACCAUAUUGGGGCAGAGGGCCACCAGCUCGCUGAAUCGGGCAGUAUAAGCGACCACAUUGGUGCCCUUCAUCGACAGGUUCCAGAGUUCCUGCUCCAGUUUCUGGAUCUCGCCCCUCGGGCAGUAUUCCUCAGUCAUGAGGUCUUUCAUUGUUUCCCAGCCCAUGUCGUUGGCUACGACGAGAGUUAGGGCUUUGACGUGGCCGUUCCACCACGUUAGGGCUUUACCCUCAAAGGUGCAGGCGGCAUAUUUCACCUUGCACGCAGCAGGGCAUGAACAAAUUUCGAAGACUGAUUCAGUCUUCUCGAACCACUGCGAGAGAGCAAUGACUCCGCCGGUGCCAUAGAAAGGCUUCGGCUUGCAGUUUGUAAAAUCCUUGUAAGAGCACUCCCUUGAGCGCACAGGGAUUUCGAUCGGAAUAGAUUCCACAGGGGUUCCACCUCUGCUGGCAUCAGAAGAGUGAUACUGAGCCAUGGCAGUUGCCACUGCUGCAGCUACAACAGCAUUCAGGGCUACAGUAUCGAUGACCGGAGGCGGAGGAGGUGGUGGAGGUGCAGGAUUAUUCCUAUUCCUGGGAGACUUGCGAGGAGGCAUCCUUCAGCUGAAAGUUUAAAAAGAUAAGAAAGAUGGUAAGAAUCAAUUUGUAAGCAACGCGAGAGUGACACAUGGACUAACUAAACAUAGUCCAACAGUUGAAAGGGUGCUUGAAACCACAACAAGCAUUAUUAGUAGGAAAGCACAAGUGUAUAGAUUUUUCCCCAGAUAGAUAGAUCUCAAAAAUUUACUGGUAUUACUGAUGUAAUAAGUUCAGGGAAAAUCGACCUAACAGUAGGUCAUACAUCAUACCAUAUAGAAAAGUUUGACAGUCCUUAGAUUUCAAAUUUGAGUACGGAAGUUAGAAACAUUUUACACACAAGCGCUACUUGGAGCACAGAUGUUAAAGGCUAUCCUUUAAUUAAAAGACGGAGCUGUACUAGACAUCAACCAACGGCGAUGGGAAAAUCCCGGGCGAGUACUGCGGUCGGAUACUUGACGAAACACCUCUUGAAUGGGUCGAUCCUGAGUCCUCUGACGAGCUCGAAGUUCCAAUAUUUCAGCUCGUGAGGCAGCCAACUGCUACAGCAGGGUUUUAUUUGUCCUCCGGGUCCGUUCCAUGUCUUCUUCAAGACGGCGGAUGCUGACUGUGUUGACACCUGAGUCGGCAUCAAUCUCUAUGACCCGGUCGACGGCUGCUCCACCUUGCUCGACAAUACGAGCUAUUCUGCGGAUAAUGACAGGCAGAGCUCGGUCAGUAGAGCCACCAUCGCUGACGUUGUAAAAGGUUCGGUCCCCAAAGUAUGGUAAGGGUUGACCCUGAUCAUCACUCCAGCGGUUCGGUUGUUUGCCCACAUGGGUGUAGGACCUGGAAACGCUGGUCGAGGGUUGUUGUUCGGGGCUUGACCUACAAUCGGUAGGUUGUUGACUUCAGGCUCGGAGUCGGACCCAUCUGAAAAGCCUUCUGCGAGGUGAUCAUCCAAAGGGAUUGGAUGAUCAACUUCGGGCUCUUCAUCGAUCCACCCGGCAUUGCCUUCAUUGGGAAAGUACGGGUCGCCAUGAUGGAUAUCUAGCCAUCAAGAUCUACGCGAGAAUAGAGGUAUAAGAAUAUAGUAUACGUGUAACUAGUAGCGCAAAAUACUCCUAUAGUAUUUUAAGUUUAAGUUCUAUUGAUCUUCUUGUGGUAUUGUUGGUAAGUUUUUAGACUUGCUAACCUAUCACAACCAUUCUAAGGCAUGUGCUAAUCACUCCUAGGAUCAGCAUAGUUGAUCAGGCUAUGCCAUUCCCAGGACUGACCAUACAUCCCCGAGCUCACUUGUGAUAUUUAACAAUCGUAAUACUUUUGUUCUUGUCAUUGUGACACUUAUUUUAGUAUGAAUGCAGACUAGUAUACUUAGUUAAAUAUUUUAUUAUUUUAAGUAUAGACUCUUGGUCAGAGUUUAAUCCCCAAUGGGUUUAUAGUUUAGUAUAUCUUUUAUGGGUUGAUAUACUCAAUUCACUAUAAACAAUGCUCUGAUACCAAUCUGUCACACCCCAAAACCAAGAACGGCGGAAACGUUCUGGGGCGGAGGACGUCAUGUAAGGUAAUCACAACACAGUAAAUGUAAAUAGGCAAACAACAUCAUCCAUUGCAUUAAAUAUAUAAAUUUAAUACAUGCGUGUUCUGUACAGUUUUAGACACCAAAAAUAUAACGUAAAUCAAAAUAAUAAAAUGAUGAGUCUUGAGUACGCUCCAUCAUCUCAAAAGCUGGCAUCGGUACCUGUCUACUGAUGACCUGAGAAUACAAGUUAUUUUGAAAGAGUUUAUCAGCAUUAAGCUGGUGAGUUCAUAAGUAUUUUAGUGUCAAUGUUCAUUGUCAAAAACGUUUGAACUUGUCCCAAUGUAUAAGUUUGUAAAAAUGUAAAUAAAUGUUUAAAAGUAUUUGCAAAAGUUUGAAUCUCUCAGAAAAUCCUAUAUUUUCUAUAAUAGUAACCUUCUACCAAGGCUUAACUGUUUUGUAAACUCGUCUGUUGUAAAAGUGUGUGAUUACCCAAGUAUAACUAUCAUUUGAUAAAAUAUAGUUUGUACAUUAAUGCUUAAGUGAGAUUAUCACCAAAAUAUGUAAUGGGUAAAUCAUUGUAGUACUGUAGUUUUGUAUAAUAAGAACUACUGUUGUACUAAUUACUACUACCUUAAACCGGAUUUAUAUUAAGGUAUAAUGUGAUAAUUGCACCAUACUAUCGACUGAUAACAACGACAUAAAGAACGGUCGUAAUAACGGAAUGACGUUUGGCACCCGCAGACCUGCAGGUCCGGCUGUAGCUAGCAGCAAGGUGUAGGAUAGUCAAUCCAGUAUAGAUCUAUACGCAAACUCAACGCUCUCCCUCCAAGAGAAUUCUGGCUACAACUCGGGCCAUGACAUUUAAGGCAUGCUCCGAUACAGUGGAUCACAUUUGUUAUCGUAUUCUUGCAUGUGUGAUGAAAUGUUUCUUGUUCUAGUAUAGUUGUAUAUGUUCUCGUAGUAUAGUUGUAUAUAUUCUCUUCCUAGUAUAGACUCAUGAAUGAACUGACUCAUUGAUCUAGCAGUUGUAAUAGUAUGAUUCUGUGUUACCCCGAUGGUAACUUGUUAACAGUGCGUUUAGUACAUAUGAUUAUGGAAGUACUUUUAUGUCUAUAUAUGUAUAUUUGAUAUAUAAUUAAUAUGGAAACGACCUUCGGAUGGUCACCCAAAAUCCUAUCAGACCACAUCCAAAUCGAGGAAAAGGAAACAAGGUGGAUAGCCUUCCUAAGCCCUUUAAACAUUAUUUAUACGUCUAUACAUAUAUGGGCAUGCAAUUUGUAAUAUAAAAGCAUAAAUAAGUAUUUAUAAGGCAUUUGAAACAUAAGUAUUAUUUUUAAAGAAAGAUUGACUUGAUGUCAAUCUAUAAAACCAUUUGAAGGUGUAGAUUUGAUUAAAACAGUUUAAGUAUAAGGAACAUUUGCUUAAAUCACAGUUGCAGUGUAAAUUCGAAAAGUAAAUGGGUUUGGAAAACAUUUAGAAGUAAAACAGUUUGAUAGAUAGUUUGAAUAGUGAUAAAACCACUGAUUUCCCUAGUUAUUAAUCACAUGUGAUUAGUACAAUCACAUGUGAUUGAAACAAUAACUAUAAGUAUUUAACUUGUAUUCCCCCCCUUUUGAAAGCAUAUAAAAGCAUUUAGAAUAUUUAACAGGUUGAUUAAGGGGUAUGAAACUCACUUGAUUGAUUGAAGAAAGCGAGAUGGAAAACCGGGCAGAGUUUCGUCUCGGAAAACGGAUUUUUCUCGGGAUUCUCGGGAAUCUCGGGAGUAAAAUCGACCCUCGGGACUUGAGCAAAAAGACCAGAGCUUCGGGUUAUAACGGGCACGGAAAACGAGACAAAGUUGUGAGAGAGAGGAGAGAAAUGAGCAACAUUUUCGGAAAGCCUCGCAUCCUAUUUAUAGGAAGGCUGAACCGCCUCCGAACGCGGGGCGUACGCUCGUACGCAGCGCGUACGCGUACGUCAUGCAUGACCGAAGCCUCGACUGCCUCGGUUCGGAUGGGACGGGUUGCUGGGUACGCGGGUCGGAUGGGACGCCGGGUCGGAUGGGACGUCGGGUCGGACGGGUCGGAGCUUCGGACGGGUCGGACGGGUUAGAACUCUUCGGAUAGCGCGACGUGGACGAUCCGAGACCCUCGAUCUCAGUACGCGGGGCGUACGAAGGUACGCAGGGCGUACUUCGGUCCAAUCCGAUGACUCCCCUUCGGAUAUUACCGGGAAUUUAUAUUUAAAUUUAUAUUUAUUAUAAAUAAACUUCAAAAAUUCAUAUCUCCCUCAUACGAACUCCGUUUUUGACGUUCUUUAUAUCCUCGCGAAGGUGAGACCAUGAUCUACGACUUUCGUUUAGAUUCCGUUGGCUAAUUCCGAAAUUAUUUUUAUUAUUUAUUUAUUAAAAUGACGUGUUUAAGGAAUUUCUUCAAAAAUUCAUAACUUCCUCAUCCGAGGUCAGAUUUGGACGUUCUUUUUAUGUACGCAAACCUUGAUAUGAUACCUAUUACUUUAUUUAAUCCGAAUAAGUUUUUAGGAAAGUUACAUUUUGACCUAAACUCGAUCGGUUUUACAUUACAUUGACUCAAAAUAUCGGGUUGUCACAAAUUCCAACUUCACCUUUAUCAGUGAUAGACAGAAGGUACUAUAGUUACGUAUAAUAUUGCACAUUAGGUUUCAUUACAGACUUAUACUAAUUACUUAUUUUGUUUUGGUGAAAACAAGGUCUUCGACCAGCCAUAAAACAAUUGUUUCCUAAUGCAGAACACAGGUUCUAUAUUAGACACAUAUACCAAAACAUGAGGAAAUUAUUUAAGACUACAAAGUAUAAGGAGUAUUUUUGAAGGUGUGCUACAGCCACUACCAAGCCAGAGUUUUAAGCUGUAAUGGUAGAGCUAAGGAAUUAUGACAUUGACACAUAUCAAUGGCUCUUGAAAAUCCCUCCACAUCAUUGGGAUAGAAGUCAUUUUUCAGUUAUUUUCUCAAUUUUUGUCUUACUUUUCAUUAUAGUAUAAAUAUACACUAACUGUUAUUUCUGUUAAUGAACUACUAGGAAGGGCAAUUUCAGACAUGUUAUUGAAUAACCUUUGUGAAGUGUUCAAUAGUGAACUUGUGAAAGGGAGAGACAAACCUAUUAUUAGUUGUUUGGAGUUUAUCAGAUAGUGCCUAAUGAAGAGAGUUUACAAUGUGAUGAAGGUGUUAAACAAGUGUCAAGGCCACUAAUUCCAACUGGUACCAGGAUUUUAGAAGCAAACACAACACUUGCAAGUAAGUAUCAUGCACGAUGGAAUGGGGGACAAAAUUAUCAGGUUAAAGUUCCAUGGAAUGAUCAACAUGUGGUGGACAUGGGGAAAAGGGAGUGUAGUUCUAGAAAGUGGGAGCUUAAUGGAAUUCCAUGCAAGCAUGCAAUUGCAAACCUAAAUGAAAUGACAGACAAUCCUGAAAAGGUGGGAGAACUAUACACCUAUGGGCAUAAAGUGUAUUGGCUUGAUACAUGGAAAGAGAUGUACUCCUUCAAGGUGGAGCCUAUCAAAGGUAGAGCCAUGUGGCCUUAGAGUGACUGCCCAACAACUCUUGUCCCUCCACCACACAAAAAAGCUAUAGGUAGGCCAAAAAAGAAAAAGAGGAUUACAGCAGAGGAAAGGAUUGAAAUUCAGCAACGUAAGAGCCAAGCAAACUGUUAAAGUCAGAAUGAUAAUGAAACUCAAAAGCCGAGUAGGAAGUCUUUUGCUAUGACAUGUAGUGUAACACCUCAUUUAUUUAUUUAAUAAAUAAAUAAACAAAUGACCGAACAGUAUCCUUAAAAUAAAUAAUUACAUGCAAAAGGAUGGUCUCCCAGAGCUAAUUGUCAUAAUUUUAGAAGGUGGGGGUUAAAGUUCAAAAAUCAGACUCAAUUUGUAAAGAGUUUUGAGGGAUGGGGUUAAAAGGGUAACAUAUGGACUUUAUUUGAAAAGAUAUUGAAGAGGGGGGGGGGGCUGUUUGGUAAGUAUUAUACUUACUUUGUAAUUUAAGGCUGAGGAUUAAAAAGGUAAAUUUCAGACUCUAUUGGAAAUGAUUUUAGAAGGGAGGUACCAUAGUUGUUAUUAUGGGAGAAUGUCUUGAAGGAACCGGGUAUAUAACCCUAGCUUCACCGGUCAUCAAACCUAAACCUAAGGAACACCCUUCAGCCGCCAUGAGAAAUCUUCAGCCGCCGCCUGCCCUCCUCUUCACCAUUGAACAGUCGUCGGACGCCAAGAGUGGACCGCUAUGCGUGGAGCGCUACCACCACCCAACUCCCUCUCAUUCUCCUAUCUGCUGAAUCCCCAAGCAACUGCUAACAUCAAGCCACUAUCAGAGUCGUUGUUGCUCCAGUUGCCGACGAGGACGCAAGCAGGCGUCUUCUCUCUGUCGUGCCACUGCUGCUAUCAUCGGGGAUUAUGUUGCCGUCGCCACCUCGCUGUUAGUUCUUUCCGUCAAGGACUGUGCCUACCGCCACCCUUUCACCUCCAUCUUCGCUGUCGUCAUUCAUUGCUGCUACGCCAUCAUAUUCUUUGUUUCUUCCCACUAGCCACCGUUGUGGCCGUUAUGGUUACUGUUGUCGUCACCGUGCACCACCAGUGGGUGGUUGCAUCCAGAUUUCGAUUUGCAAGUCGUGUGUGGGUAAAUUAUUGGCUGGAAGACACAAGAGGACCACCAUGGCAGCCAACCAUGGUGGUUGUCGCCGGGAAUGCUCUUUCUGCUGCCACAAGCCACCGUGAAAGGCAGUUGUGGGCGAGUUUUGGUGUUUGUAUUCAUUAUUUGUGAUGUUAUGAGGCUACAUGAGCAUUCUUGGCUGGAGAUCUGAAGAUAGACCCUACAACCACCACCUUAACGUCGUGGCUGCCACCAUAUGCCACCAUGUGUGUGUUUAUGUUAGUUAGGGUGGGUGUUACUUUUGGUAUUUCAUUGUAAAUUGUAAAAGAAAAAUGGAAUAAUGAGAUAGAAACCCUAACCACCACAGGCCACCUUGUCGGGUGGCGAUGUGCCUUGUUUGGUUUGUGACUCGUUUGGAAUGUUUAGACAAGGGACUAAAACCCUGAUGGGCCCAAUGAAGCCCGAAAUGGCCUAAAAGCCCAAACAUGUGACUAAUAGGCCUAAUGAACCCUUAUUGAUCAAAAGGCCUAGUUAUUUGGCCUAUUGGGCUAAGAUGGGGUUGGAAACCCUAAUUAGGGUUUAGAAAACCCUAAUAUUGGAUUUAUGGGCUUGGACUUAUCGGGACCCACUUUUGGGCCAAUUGGAAUGGAGUUGUAAAUUACACCCAAUCACACCAUAUGACUUACCUAAUAAAGAUAUGGACUUAAUGGAUUAAGUCCUUAAUAGGUUAAGUGAGAAACACUUAACCCUAAUCGUUAUUUUAUGUGAAACCCUAAUUUCACUUGGGUUUAUUGUUGUCACACCCCCAAACCGGAACGACGGAAAUGUUUGGGGGCGGAUGACGUCAUGUUUAGUAUCAUAACACAUGUAUCAUAGUAAUCAUAGUAACAAACAACCAUUGUAUUAAUAUUAAAGUGUUUACAAAGUAUGUGAUUCACAAAAGAUUGACUCCAAAAGUAAAUAACAAAACAAGACAUGAAGCUACUAUGCUCCAUCUUCGGAAUCCCAGAGUGCGUACCUGUCCACUAUUCUCCUGAGAAUACAAGUUAUUUUAAAAGAGUAGAUCAGCAUUUAAGCAGGUGAGUUCAUAAGUAUCUUAGUGAUGUAAAGUAAGUUGGAAGUUCUUUUUAGAAAAGUUCGCAUGUUCCUUCAGAAAAUCCUAUAUCUUCUGAUGUGAUGAAUGAGAGUAAAAAUGACUCUCCCUCUAUAAGUACUAAAUGGAUACAAGUUAUAUAUAAUUUACAGUAAACAAACAAUCGAUUGUGUAAAUUUGCCUUAAGCCCACAACCAAACAAGGAACAGGGAAUGAGGCAGAAGUCACACAUCCCAUUGUUUGUUAGAUCUUCACUGUAUAUAACCCUAGCGUAUUCAUUUGGUACUUAUGGAGUUAAUUGUAAUAGUUCUUUAUAUUUUAUGAAAACAUUCUUUAAGAGAAUCAUAUAUUUCCUUUAGUAAAGAUAGUAACCACAAUAGUUCCUUCUAUAAUCACUUAGUGUAUACAAACUAUAUGUAAUCUAAUAUCGAACGGACAGUUAAAUGGGUGAAUCUGCCCUAAGCCCACAACCAAACAAGGAGCAGGGAGUAAGGCGGAAAGCACACAUCCAAAUGCCUAUCGGAUAUUAAUUAUAUAUAACUCUGAUUUAUUAACUAAGAUAUUAUAAAAUUAACCACUAAAGGUCCUUUAAGUUAUACUAGUUUAAAAAAAUGGAUUAAACCCUUUUACUAAUAAGUUUCUAGUUUAGCCUACUAAAUGUUCUAUCUGAAAAAGUAUGUUUUUGUACUAGAAAACGAUAUAUUGAAUUUGUAUGCUAUGACCUGACCCAUACCUGGUACUCCUUAUGANAUAUAUAUAUAUAUAUAUAUAUAUAUAUAUAUAUAUAUAUAUAUAUCUUUAUACCAUGUUUUUUAUCAUCUUUUGAUUAGAACAAUGAGUUAAUGAUAUGUUCCCUUCCUAGGUUACUGGGAAUAAUUAUUAUAAGUGUGUUAAUCAUGAUUUGUUCUUCUGUUAUAGCAUAUUGUGUGUUCCUCCCUAUUUCGCUUUAUAGUAUGUUCUUUCUGUUUCUCGUUAUAGUGUGUUCUGAACUGACUCAUGUAUGAACUGACACUUGUCUGUUUCAUUGUACUAGAAAUAGUGAGUAGUAGUCCUCUAAACUAUACCUAUUAUAGUUUACUAGUAAUUUUAAUUAAAUGACUGAGUAUGUUUGUACACCUUUGCUACCCUGUUCCUCCCUAUUUCGCUUUAUAGUAUGUUCUUUCUGUUUCUCGUUAUAGUGUGUUCUGAACUGACUCAUGUAUGAACUGACACUUGUCUGUUUCAUUGUACUAGAAAUAGUGAGUAGUAGUCCUCUAAACUAUACCUAUUAUAGUUUACUAGUAAUUUUAAUUAAAUGACUGAGUAUGUUUGUACACCUUUGCUACCCAAGGUAUUGAAUUGAUUUGAAAUAGUUUGUUUGAUAACAUAGUUUGAAGUAUAAGAAAUCUCUUGGUUUGAUAGUUAUAAAUCACUUGUGAUUGAUUAUACAACUAUAUGGUUUUCUACUUGUAUCCCCCCCCCCCCCCNNCCCCCCCCCCCCCCAUAAAAGCAUUUAAAAUCAUUUAAAAGAUAAGUUAGGGGUAUGGAACUCACUUGGUAAGAGUGAAUAGGGCAACGUUUCGUUCUAGGAAUGAUCUUUCUUGACGUAACUACGUGUUUCUGGUGAAGAAACGAGCUUCACGCGGGCAGUACUUCGACUGGAAAGGAGUUAGUUUCUCGGGAGAUUCGGGGCAUCGGGACUUGCUUCAUGUGCUAGGGGUGUUACCCAGGCUUCGGGGGUAGUCUUGGGAUGCUUAACACAGAGUAAAAGUGGAAAGGAGAGUAGAAUUGAGCAGCCUAAACCCGAGACCUUCGGUUUCUAUUUAUAGUGAGUAAUUUUGGAGCUCACAUCGUGAGCAUGGAGUGGCUCAUGUCGUGAGUUCGAUCUUACCCAUCCGCUGACUGGACUUCUGACAGCCCAACUCUGGAACCUAUCCAUCACUGGCUCACAUCGUGAGCUUCAGGCUCAUGUCGUGAGUCCUCUGGCAGUGUGAGAAUUCGUGUCCCGAACUUCAUAAAUUCAUAUCUCUUGCAUACGAGUUUCGAUUUUGAUGUUCUUUAUAUCCACGUGUAGGUGAUAUUAUGCUCUACAACUUUCGUUUAGACUCUGUCGGCUAAUUUUGACUUUAUUUUUAAUAUUAUAUUUUUAACAGGGCGGGACUGGAAAAGUCCGUAAAAAGUCCAUAACUUCUCCAUCCGACGUCCGUUUUCGUCUGUCUUUUUACCAUUGUACUACUAUUGUCGAGAUUUUCAAUUCUCGUUUAGGUUGCGUCAGCUAAAAGUCACUCGAUCUUUAUUUGGAGUUUUUAGCUGUCUACUACUAUAUCUGAAACUUAGAAAAAUCACAAUUUCCUCAUACGAAGUGAGAUUUGGACGUUCUUUUUAUGUACAUUUACAGUUUAAUGAUGUCUACUUUUAUAUAGAUACCUAAGUCUAAAAAGUGUUCUAUUGAAAUUUUGCGUUUUAUGCUUAACAGUGCUUUACCGGCUAAAAAUUUUCGGGUUGUCACUGCUGCUAUCGUCGGGGGGGUUAUGUCGUUGUCGCCACCUCACUGUUAGUUCUUUCCGUCAAGGACUGCGCCUGCCGCCACCCUUUCGCCUCCAUCUUCGAUGUCGUCGUUCAUUGCUGCUACACCAUCAUCUUCUUCGUUUCUUCCCACUAGCCAUCGCCUUUAGCCACCGUUGUAGCCGCUAUGGUUACUGUUGUCGUCACCGCGCACCACCAGUGGGUGGUUGCGUCCAGAUUUCAUUUGCAAGUUAUGUGUAGGUAAAUUAUUGGCUGGAAGACACAAGAGGACCACUAUGGCAGCCAACCAUUGUGGCUGUCGUCGGGAAUGCUUUUUAUGCCGCUACAAGCCACCAUGAAAGGUGGUUGUGGGCGAGUUGUGGUGUUUGUGUUCAUUGGUUGUGAUGUUAUGAGGCUACAUGAGCAUUCUUGGCUGGAGAUUUGAAGAUAGACCCCACAGUCACCACCGUGAGGUGGUGGCUGCCAUCAUGUACCACCUUAUGUGUGUGUUUAUGUUAGUUAGGGUGGGUGUUACUUUUGGUAUUUCAUUGUAAAUUGUAAAAGAAAAAUGGAAUAAUGAGANNNNNNNNNNNNNNNNNNNNNNNNNNNNNNNNNNNNNNNNNNNNNNNCCGCCGUGUCGGGUGGCGGUGUGCCAUGUUUGGUUUGUGACUCGUUUGGAAUGUUUGGACAAGGGACUAAACCCUAAUGGGCCCAAUGAAGCCCGAAAUAGCCUAAAAGCCCAAACAUGUGACUAAUAGGCCUAAUGAACCCUAAUUGAUCAAAAGGCCUAGUUAUUGGGCCUAUUGGACUAAGAUGGGGUUGGAAACCCUAAUUAGGGUUUAGAAAACCCUAAUAUUGGAUUUAUGGGCUUGGACUUAUCGGGACCCACUUUUGGGCCAAUUGGAAUGGAGUUGUGAAUUACACCCAAUCACACCAUAUGACUAAUCUAAUAAAGAUAUGGACUUAAUGGAUUAAGUCCUUAAGUGAUAGUGGUAGUGGUAGUAGGGGGUGAAAUAUUUCCCGGUUACCGAUCAAUAGGACCAAAGGGGUAAAUUAGUACCCAACUAUGCUAGACUGAUUAUGAUAUAUGUGAUAUGAUAUUAUGUGGUAGUAGUAAGGGUGAAAUAGUCCCCAGUUACCGUUCGACAUGACCGAAGGGGUAGGCUAGCACCCAGAUAUGUUAGGCAGUAUGUGUUUUAUAUGUUUAUGCUAUGCUUUUAUGUGGUAGUGGUAGGGGUGAAAUAGUCCCCGGUUACCGGUUGAAAGAUACCGAAGGGGUAGGUCGGGCACCCAGAUAUGCCUGACAUGGGGUAGGUUGAGCACCCUUGUAUGCUCAGCAGGGUAGGUCGGGCACCCAGAUAUGCCUGGCAAUAUGUGAUUGUAUGGUAUGUGGUAUGAUGGGGGAACUCACUAAGCUUCGGGCUUACAGUUUUCAGUUUUGGUUUUAGGUACUUCGUUUUCAUAGGAAAGGAGCCAACUCGGUUGCAACGCAUCACACUGUGUUUUCCGUACAAGAGAUCUUUGGAAUUUCACUCUGAUAUUACUUUAUGAUAACAUGUUUAAUUAUUGACGUACUAGUUUGACACGAUAUUUUAUUAUGAAUGUUUUUGUUAUAUUGUUGGUAUUAUAAUAACCUAAUUAAAAAUGAAAUUUUUGGCCUUGAAUUUUGAGAUGUUACAAGUUGGUAUUAGAGCCUUGGUUUUAGGGAUUCGGGCACACUCCCGGGUGUGUCUGAACUCAAACUAAGGACUUGGUAUGAAAAUUUUCAAAAGUAAAACCCUUUUAUAAAAAAUAAGUUUGAAAAGAAUUUGAAAAAAAGAAAAGAACUUUAAAAAGAAUAAGGUGUGUGAUGCGUGCAAUCAGCCAAACUCAAGUAAGUUUUCCCCAAGAAACCCAUACAUGUUAUGAUAUGUUAUGUUAUGUUAUGAUAUGAUUAUGAGAACUGUCAGCUAGAUUAGGGCUAAGGAUAUAGGAGGAUGCCUUAUAUGCCUAUUAUAUGUACUUGUAGACUUGCAUGCUAGUAACGAUCAGUCAGUGAUAAAAUAGCCUGUUUAGGUUAUGCCUGAUUGUAUGAGCCUUUGAAUUGCAUGUACAGAUUCCUUAUUAGAGGAUAGAAUGGUUUGAAUGGAAUAUGAUGGUUAGAUUUUUCCAUUAUCUGAAUGUUUCUUGCUUUGUGAAUUGUGGGACUCUUAGUAAUGUGAGCUAGCUAUUAAGUGAAUAUGCUAAGUCACAGGUGGCACAGGCUGGAUAAUCUCAGAGUGAUAGAUUUGACCAUAUUGCACAGCUCUUGUCUGAGUCCAACUGUUCUAGGGAUUGGUCUAUUACUCGAAGGAUUAUAUGAUCUCUGUUACAUGUGGCUAUAUUCAGGAGGUAGCUAGUUGACAUUACUGGGAAUCUUUCAGUAGCUGAGGAUUGGGUGAGUACGGGAACCUAGGAAAGCCUAGGAUAUGUUUCAGUGGGUUGGUAGCGAUGCGUAGUGAGGCUUGGGUACCAAUUUGAGGAAGUGACUUGGAGGAUUCGGGAGGAUUGUUGAGGAAAGUAUGGAUAGGUGUGGAAGGUAGUAUUGGGCCCGUACUACUAAAAGCACAAGAUCCAUACUCGAAUCAGUGAGAGUCUUGGAGAAUCUGAGAAGCUUUAGGGAGAAGUCUGUGACCCGGUUUGUGGACAGAGGAUGUUCCAGUUGUUGCAGCUUAGCCAUUGGCAAGCGAGCUAGUGAGCGUGACAGGGUGUCAGACCCUGAAGAAUAUGAUUUCCAAGAGUUGUAGAUACAAGAUCAAUUUGGAGCACCCUGGGAAGAGAGGGUCAUGCCAGGUGCCUAUAGUAGAAGGUCCCGGGAAGAGGCCCAUGACCUCCGAUCAUCGGGUGAAAGGCCAGCAGGGCCGGAGUCAAUGCAGCACGUACGGGAAAGUUCUCAAGGGAGUUUGUCGUUCUAAGGGUUUAGGAUGCUACAGGUGUGGUAGGGUUGAUCAUGUCAGCUGUAGGUGACUAGGAUUCCUCCAGAUGUUCCGGGUAUGUCAUCUUUUACUGCUACUAGAUGGAUGUUGGGAAUACAUAUCGCUAUGGAAUUGUGAGCGAGUUUGGAUAAGUCGGAUCUCAGGCCGGUUUUCUGCUAGUUUUUGGGUUAUCAAGGAUCAUAUAUGCCAUCUUGCAUUUCGAAAAGUCCUUGAUGAACCCACAGAGGGACGCAUUUUACGGAGUGGGUUCUGCGCGUACCAUUAUCAUUCUGGAUCUUUGUCGGGAUCUGUGUAGGAGUAACAUGUAGAGGAUACAUGGUCAUGGUUAGAGCGAUAGUUCUAUAGUGAAGUCAGCAUUCAGUGGUUCUAUCAUGGUUUAGGUAUGGUCGACAGUUGUCUAUGGAAGAACCUUGGAAGCUCAGGGCACUACCGUUGCUAGGACAGGACUAGUACCAUGAAAAUGGUAGUGUUAGUUGCGGUUGUUAGAUGCAUAAGUAUUGGGGCAUUGGAUGUGCAAGGGAAUUAUAUUUUUCGCAUGGGUCGUGUUUGAUUACAGUUCAUUGGUUUUGCAAGGAUUCUUUAGCCAAAGUGAAGAUUAAGGUCUUCAGUUGACAGCAUGGUAGAUGGGCUAAGGUGUAAGACUGUACCAGAUUUUAAGAGUGAUCUUCUGUUGGGUUUUGAGCAUUCUAACACUCCUAAGUGUACAUGCAACCCUAAAUACCUUGGAUCUAUGUUUUCUCUAUUAUACAUGCAAAUAUGAACUUCCAAGGUAUUAUCCUAAUCUAGCAUACAAAACAAUGAAUAUAACAAGAUAGAAUGCAUACCUCUUGAUGUAGAAAGUCUUCAUGAAGCUUGAGUGCCUAGUGCCCCAAGUGUGACACCUCAAAUGGUUCACACAACAUCAAUUACUUUUGGAAUAACCUUGAGAGAAAUAUAGAACACUUCAUAAAAAUCGGCUAGCCCUUCUCUAUCUCGAUAGUGGCCGAUUUUUCCAAGAGUAUGAUCUUUAUAUAGUGUUACAAUUAGUGUAAAACCUAAUUGUCAUGACUUUCCAUUUUCCUUGGAUCCAUGGGUACAAAACACCAUGGAGCAUCCAUGAAGCAUCAUAUGGGUUUUAUCCCAACUAGAUAAUCCAUGGAGCAUUAGCCCACUAUAUAAGUAUGGAUGAUUUACACAAUCAACCUAUAUAUUUAAUUAGUCUUCUUUUGAUCACUUAAUUAAUUCUAGAUUAAUUCUUGAUCAAUACUAAUUAGAUAAUCUUAUUAAUAUAUUAUAACUUAUAAUAUAUUAACAAACAUUAAGUGUUAUUUCUCUCAUUAUAGUCUAUCCAAAUGCAUGAUGCCAUGCAACCCAAAUGGACCAUGCCGGGUCGGGUCAAGUCUUACCAAUUAUAGUUAUGGACUUAGACAUUAAUCCAACAGUCUCCCACUUGGAUAAGUCUAAAACUAUUAUUGCAUAUGACUUCAAGAACCAACUGGCAAUCGUAGCUCUCAAAAGCUUCUGUCGAACUCUGACCUUGUAGAUGAACUCUGACCUUUGUCAAUGACUUGUCCAUUAGAUAAGGGAUCAUAUAUUCCUCCAUUCUAGAUAUCAUAUGGACUGAGACAUGGAUUAUAAUCAUUCUCUCUGUCCAUUUGUUGUUUCCCGAUUUCCGAUUUAUGACGACUGACUAAUUGAACAAAUCAAAUCAGUCCUGGCCCGGCCGAGCACUUCCAUUUGUCAUCAUCAAAUCAUCGAGGGGCCCACAGAUAUCGCUUUUAUCCCGAAGGUAAAAGGAAUGGAUAAACUUCGACUCAUAUGGCUUGUUCUACUACUUGUUGAAUCAUACACAAAGGCACGUUUUAUAGCACCGAGUUACCAAAUGCGUUUUCGUGCAAUCAAUGUACAACCAACUCAUAGUAACAACUCAUAUCUCUAGGUUUGAAGAAUAUAAGAUAUUAUCGUCUCAUGAUCACUCGUGAUAAAAUCCAUGAAGUGAUUCCAAUGAGCGCGGGUUGAAUCCAAUACUCAGAACUUAUGAGCACUCAUGAGUGUUGUAGCCCUUUGUCCAACACCUUAGACCUCUACAAGCCAACCCAUGACAGUCUUAAUUCAUAUCUACUUCCAACAUAUGACCGACUGUGGAUGGUUUGAAUAACUUAGUCAUUCCGGAAGAAUAACCUAGUUUAUUCGGGAAGUCAAAACAUGCAAAGUGAAACACAAUAAUAAUUGAAUCCAAUAUGGUAUCAACUCUUUGAACAUAAAUAAAACACCUUUUAUUUAUCACCAUAUGAUUACACAUUAUUCAUUGUAUACUGUUUCAGCUAUCAACUUUAUUCUUGAAUUUAAAACAAUAGUUGUCCCAUGCUCCAAGCAUGUACACUAUGUUUUCUUAAACACUAGUCAUGCCACACACCAAGUAUGCAUACUAUGUUUGUCUAUGAUCUUUACUUUGUGAACUAGAUCAAUUGAACAUAACUUCAAUGAUUCUCUUUUCACACUCCCAAAUCCUUACUGCAAAUGCAAGAAUUCCAAAUUCAUGCCAUUUACUGAAAUCUGUUAGAUUCUAAACUUAUAUGCAUUGAUCCUCUUGUAAUGAUUAUGCACAAAGUCAGAAAGACUUGACAACAAUCAUUACAGAGUAUUCCAAAGGAGAUCAGCUCCUUGGAAACAUCCUUCUUGCAUUAAGUUUCCUAAUCUUAAACAGAUUGAAAAUUCUAACUUUGAAACAUUUCCAGAUUCCAUUUUGACUAUCACUUCUGAACAAGAGUUGCCUCCUUACAGAUUAUGUCAAUAUGGUCCUUCCAGAAUUAUCACUAUACUUCCAACUGUCCUUGAGCAACCAAUCUUUGGUAAACCUUAGAUUGUCCUCGACAAUUGUUUAAUCCUUUUAGUCAUAUCCAGUUCUAAACCUUUUCCCUUCUUAAUGCCCCAGGCAUUUGGAAAAUUUUAGAACGGAUGAAUAUAGCACAUGUAAUCGAUCCUAUAUCCGAAGCAUAUGGGACACGAUUCAUGAUGUCUCACAUAAAGACUAAACCAGUCUUUUGCUAUAACAUUUCCAUUUCAAUUUGCCAAGUUCUCAUAAUUCAGAUUAUGAAAAGGGAUGCCGUAAUCAUAAUCGAAUUUUAGAACGCAAAUAAUGGACCCAUAUACAGAAUUUCCUUAUGUUGAGCCAUUCCAACAUGAAAUUCAUAUAUAUCCUUGACUAAAUGAUUAAAACCUCACGAUCUAAGCUUAUAGAUUUGAGAUGAAGCAUAAUUUCCUCUCCCUUAAUUAUAGCAAAACAACUUUUUCCCAAUUGAAACUUUUGUUUUCUAUAAUUAACAUUGCUAACUUGCAAUACUUAUCAUAAUUAUCAUGCUCCCACUAACAUGAUGAUUAUUAGCAUAACACUUAUGCUCCCACUAGCUUUGACAUGUACUCAGAAAUCAGCUGGACUUCUAGAAAUCAAUACUUCAUUGACUUUCUUACCAAAGUUCAGAUUUCUGAUGCUAGAUUGUUUUGAUAAAACUUUAUCAAAAUCAUACACCUUCCCUUAGAUAGCACACUUGUGUGUCUAAACAAUUAUGAAGAGGUAUGCCGUAAUCAUAAUGGUUAGACCUUUUUGCCACUUCUCACAAGUCCAGGUUAGUGUGCCGGUUAACCACACGCGCUCCACUAACGACUUUGAGAAUGCAAAUAUCACAAUUGCUAUCUAGCUAAAAUCUACUUAGUGAAAGUGUUUCCUCACCAUCAUUUUCAUGAAUCGGAGAGAAACCUUAUGACACUUAGAUUUAAUGGUGUAUGUGUUCUUAUCCAUGUGAAUUGUCAAAAUCAUAGUCACAAGACAAGGAUAAUGACAAAUCCAAACUCAUAUGGACUGAACUCAAUCUUAAUUUCUUGCCACCUGGCAGCUCAAGGGCCUACCAUUGCUUCCAAGUUGUUGUGCAACAAAUUGAGAACUCUAAGAACUCAUAUGCAAAGCCAACUUUAACUGGAAUGGGCACAGAAUAUGUCAACACGAUAGGUUAUGAACCUCAAGUCGUGUGCUAGUGAAGAACUUCAGGUUUUAUUCUUGAUUAGUUCUUGAGACUUUCAAGACCUUUAAGACUCCCACUGUCCUCUUGACAUAUAAGACUCCCUUGUCAAACAUCCAAGAGAUAGUGCGGAUUCUAAUCAAGACAAACACUUUACACAAUUGGCCUAAGUUGGUCUUUGUUUUAUCCAAAACAUCACAACUUACCAAUUUCAAAUGUACAAGAGUAGAAAACUUUUACUCUUACAUUUGACAAGUGUUUUAAACCUUCUUUAAGACAUGUCACUCAAAUGACAAUCUUGGAGUAUGACUCUAAGACUUGUAUUGGAACGAAGUAUGACUCAUCUUCUUGAUUUAACCAUUUCAACAAUUCAAGUUCCUCUUCUUAGUCAUAAGAAUGCACUAAGAUUUCCUUAGAGAACUAAUUUU